GUCCUUGGACGCAAUCACGAACUCCUGACGCAACGCCGGCGACACCACCUUGAUGGUCCCGUCCACGGCGUUGGGCCUCCCCAGCGCCUUCAGCGCCAGGUGCGCCGCCUUCUGCCCGGAGAUCAUCAUGGCGCCGAACGUCGGGCCCUGCAACAAAAAGAUUAUCAGUUCCUCGAUCGUUCAGCGAGUGGUUCUAACACGCAAUUAAUGCGCCCCAAGAGCCCAAGAGUAUUAAUUAAUUCCUCUCACCAUCCUCGGGGCGCCGUCAAUCUCGGCGACCUCCAUGCCGGUGACGAUCAUGCCUGGCACGACCUCGCGCGUGAGGCGCACGAUCUCGUCCUCGGCGGUGUUCAUGUCGAGUGCCUUCAUCCCGGGCACGUCGCUGAUCAUGCCGAUGUCCUGCAGCCUCUUGACGCCGGUGGCCCCGAACGGCCCGUCGUGGCCGCAGGAGCUGACCACCACCUUGGCCUCCAUCACGUUUGGGUCCAUGCACGACUGCGUGUCGUGGUUCAUGGACACGAGCGCCCAGUUGGUGACGACGCCGCCGACGCGCCCUCCCUUGACGAUCAGGUCCUCCACGGCGACGGCGUUGAACAGCUUCACGUUGGGGCGCGCCAGGAGGCGGCUCAUGACGGUGGACGUGAAGAGCGCGGCGUGCUUGAUGACCACGUAGUCCUCGGCCUCGUCGUAGGCGACGCCCAGCUCGUCAAGGAACAGGUGCGCCGGCUUGCGCACCACCAUGGCCGAGAACAGCUGCCCGCCCAGCCACGCGCCGCCGCCCGGUGACACCGACUGCUCCACGAUGGCGAUGCUCACGGACGGGUCCUUGGAGAGCUCGUACGCGCAGGAGAGCCCCGCGGAGCCGGCGCCCACGAUGACCACGUCCGUGUCGGCGUAGGUGAUCAUGUCCGUCAUGUACCGCCGGGUCAUCUCGCGGGAGACGACCGACUCCUUGAUGGGGCUGAACCGGAAGGACGUCAGGUCGUAGGGCGGGUUCGAGGAGGAGAUGGACGACGCGCGGAUCGCCCCGGCGCCGCGCGGGGUGGCCACGACGGCGGGCGACGACGGCGUGCGCGUGGACGCCGGGAGCCUGGCGCCCGCGAAGGAGGACUUGAGGAGGCUGGACGCGGUGGUGGCCAUGGCUGAAAGUUUCUUCUGCCUGCAGGGUAUGGAAGGGGAAAUGAGAGUGGCUGGCUGCAGUGGCACUAACGGCAAGGGUUUAAGAAGGGGAACACGGAGGCUGGCACGAACAAAAUAUCUUGGCUAACCGCCGUGCAUGGCUACGUGCUACCAGAUGGGGCGUGGUUGGUCACGGGCACCGGAUCGUUGGCAGCAGUGUAGCACCCACCGUCCACCGAGACAUCAGCUGGUUCCGGCAGAUAUUUUGGAGGGCGGGUUGAUAUUUUGGCUACCAGAAAGGGAAAGGAAGGACACGGCCGUCGGGGCCUUCUUGUUCGUCCGUGCCAGAGCUCUCGCUCUCUUCCUUGUUUUCUUGUUCACCGUUGGACUCGUCAACUCGUCAUCACCUGGGCCAGUGUGCUAGCAGCCCGUGCACACCAGCCCGUAUCGAGCGCCAGGGAGAGGUUGUGGUUCUUGUGGAGCGCGGCGACGACGACAUGAUUGGCCGGUCCCGCGGCCGCCGCCGGCGCGCGGCCAAUGCAGCGGAGGCAGAGCAGUAGAGCACCGUUCACGGGGGAUUCGCACGUGGGUCCCCUGUGCAUACAUACAGAGAGAAAAGGAGCGACAGUUUUGGACCUUUGGGUGGGCAAUCACAUCGAAACGGUGCUAGGACUUGUUUAGUUCCAUCAAAGUUCAAAAACUUUUCAAGAUAAAAGAAUCUAUAAUUUACAAAGACGAAUUUUUUUAAGUCUAAUUAGUUCAUGGUUGGACAAUAAUUAUCAAAUACAAAUGAAAGUGCUAUAGUCUCUAAAUCAAAAAGCUUUUAGAUCUAAACAAGGCCUGAAUCUAGGGAUGAAAACAGAUCGGAUAUAGCCUGAAUCCCGGUAUCAUAUUUGUUUUUAUAUUUCUGGUUGGAUUCGGAUUCGAAUACAGAUAAUGUCAAUCUUGUCGGAUAAAAUAUGAUUGUAUGCCGAUAUCAUAAAUAUACGAUUUAAGUAUUCGGAUAUGGAUACAGUAUCACAUGUUGAAUAUUCGGACUCGAAUAGGACAGAUAUAAACCUCUCUAAACGAAUUUAAUCUCAAAUACGGUCGAAAAAUAUCAAUACUAUUUUCAUUCUGAAUCACAAGUACUCAAGGUGGAUUUUUGGAAUUAAAUUGUUGACUCAAUAAUUCUCUCACAUGGAUCGCUGGAUAAAUCAAUGGUUAUGAGGUCAUAUCUGUACAGGAAAUUGAUUUUUGUUGAUUGCAUGAUUUUUUUCUUACCAAUCUCAUAAUGGAUUCAUCAAAUCUAGAACCAUAUAAGAUUGUGAUGUCUGGUCUUGAGAGUACUUGCACAUGUCUGAAGUUACAAAGCGCCGCGGCACGUAAACUUCUUCUUUUGGCUCACUCUGCAUCGUCACUUGUGGACGACUGAGCAGAGGAAGCGCCACGGGCUACAAGAUGAUGACUCAUGUGUGCUAUGCAGCGAGGAGCUCAAAGCCACCGAUCAUCUCUUGUUGGGGUGUGCAGUCACUAAGUAACUUUGGUUCGCCCUGCUUUCUGCUCUUGGUUUUGACACGCUCGCACCGGCUCAAGAGAACACGCUCGUCGAUUGGUGCCUGCGCUGCAAGAGGAUGUUGACAACUGACUCUAGGCCGAGCUUCGACGCCAUCAUGCUCCUGGUCACCUGGUCUGUUUGGAAGGAACGCAACAACAGAACGUUCAACAGAGCUUCAGGGAGUCUCCAGUCCAUGGUGUUGGCAGUUCUCCGUGAGGCGGAGGAUUGGAUUGCGGUCGGAUUUCUUCCUAUUUGCGACGCUUAUGUCAUUUGGUCGCACUUUCAUUUUUGUGGUGUAAUAACAGCCUCAUUAGAAUCCAGUAGCUAGGUGUGUCUUCGUUCGUUGCCAGCGUCGGGAAUGUGUGUGGUUGCUCGCCAUUAACAACCCAACACCUGUUGUCUUGUCAAAUUCUAUUUCCUCUUAAUGAAAUACGAGUACUAACCCGGUCAAGAAAAAAAAGUUGAGCAUGAUCUAAUGAUUCAAGUUAUGCAGCAUAAAGGGUUCCCUACUAGAUGGCUUGAUUGGAUGAACGGAAUUAUGCUUCGGGUUCUAUUCUAAUCUGUUUUCCUCUCAGAAGGUUUGCUCAAGUGUUCCUUGUCCUCGUUUGGCCGUGCCCGCCACCAAAUGUCAUCUGGUAGUUGGCCUGUGGGUCGGGCUACAAGAUGAGAACCAAACACAUCCUACAUCAGGCCUGGUUAGAAUGGGCCAGGGAACCAAACAAGAUAGGGUGGCCCGUCUUUACGUAAGCUUUGGUUGGCCACGUCCAGGAUGCUGGCCCGCGCUGGCCACAGCCACCCUUCACAACGCGACCAAAGAGAAGAGAAGCGAUGCAUCCAAGCCGAUGCCGUAAAGAUACAAAGGUGGAGAGAGAAUCGAGGCCAGUACCAUCCGUGCGUGUGUGGCUCGGCCCAUUAACAUGCGGUGCUGAUGAGGUGGAGAAUUAAAAGACAAAUAAAUAAAGAGAAAUAAAGAAGAAAACCCUUUCAACCAUAAUGCCAGUCUCAAUGCAUAGUUUCGUAACACAGUUACUAAGACUAUAAACAAGGUAACUGAGCCAUAUGAGUUUCAUGAGGAUAAAACUACUAUCUCAUCUUAUGAAACUCCUUCAUUUAAUGACCCUGUCAAGUCAGCAAUUUUAUUUAUAUGUUACUCUAUUUAAUAUACAUGACACUUUUAUGAAACAUGCAUUGAGACUGACCUAAGGAGAAGGUGUUUACCACAUCGCAAAAAAAACAGAGAGAACGUGCUUACCAAACGUAAUUUUUUUUAACUAAUGAAGUUGGAGCCAAAUGACGACCAAAGUGUUGUGAUCCGAGGUGAUGGUGGGGGUUUGUGCCCGGCCGCUACAUCCGCCUCUGACUGGUACAGUAGCUGAGGCACUUGAACAACUCGUACCGAUGCUCGUCGGUUUAUUUCUAUGGCUUUUCCAUACUUGGUGAUGCUGGUGCCAUCCAUCCACAAGUGACCAUCUGCAUCCAUUGUUGGCCCGUAAAUCUGUGACCUUCUUGAUGACACGAACGAACUGGUGACUGGACCCUCGCUGAGGUAGUUUUGGAACACAAUCGCUGGCCUAGAUUCCAUCCACAGCGGUGUUGUUGACCGUGUGCUACCUUCGAUCCUUGUUGCCUCUGUUCUUGUUGGCUCUGUGCUGCCUUCUGCGGAUACUGACACCGAAUCUCCCGUAGUCGACGCAGCUGGCGGGAACAAAUUAACCUAUAAUAUUGUUAAAAAAGAUUAACAUAUAACAAUUUGAUAACACAGAAUACUGAAUUGUUUUUUUCAGAGUAGUACACACAUUGUGAGAGGGGGGCAAGCAAAUUAAACAAAAGAGCACGAUCGAGUACCUACCUUGAUACUGCUCGGAUGGAUGAAAAUAGUGGGGAGCGCUAGGUGGGGAGGCGGAACUGCGCUAUACACCCCGUGUGAUGCCUCCUCCUGCCUCGAGAAAGCGAUCGGGACGGUCGCUUCGUCCCUGAAGACGAUCACCGCCAUGCCCAGGUGUCGGCACAAGGCGAUCGCCUCGAUGGCGCCGAACCGCGCCAGAUCGGCGCGCAGGUCGUCGUCGCCAUUGUCGGGGAAGAACAAGUCGAGACGCUGGGCGAGGAUGCUGCGGCUAUGGAAACUGGCCGGGUCCCCGGAGAGUUGGCUCCCUGCGGCUGCGGCUGCGGGGGCCAGGAGGUCGCGCGCCAGGGUCGCCCUCUCCACGACGUGACCGUACAUGCGCCGUAGGUUUUCUAGGGUCACCAUGUUUGUUUCUUGGAUGGAUCUCUGCUGGGUGCCCUUACUCUUGGGUCUGCGACUCUGCGUGUUACGCGCGUGCAUGCGUGUAUAUAUACACAAGUACUACUAGUAUAUGCGGAGGGCAUAGGCAUCGGAUCGGACACGGAAACAGACUCCGAACCAGAGAGAACCUCGCAUGCUAACGGACUACAUACGGUGGGUGUAACAAGAUAUAGUUUAUAUUUCAAUAGCAAAACAUUUAAAACAUCAAUAAGAGUGUGGAUAAGUAUUUCAACAUGUACAAAUAUUUAAAUCAAUUAAUAAAUUUGAAUAUAUAAAAAUAAUGCAUAACGAAUAUGUAAAUAUAGUAAAGUACUUAAAAUUAGUAUGACUAUACAUAUUAAAGUUAACCAAACUUGUCCUUUAUAUAUCAUAAACUAUGAUGUUAUUUUUAAUAGUUUUGCAUUAUCAUAAAUAUAGGUUUGAAAAUUAUCAAAAAAAAAAACUUAACAUUUAUGAUUAGUCAUAUUAGCAAUAUAGUUAACUUUUAAAAAGGUUUAAAUGAGUUAUAUUAAAAAAUAUCAUUUACACUGUUAAUUAGUCAUAAAUAUAAGGUUCACACGGUACAUUGUUCUUCAUGGUAUAGAUAACAUUGGAUAUUUUACAUUUUUCAAAUAUGGAUGUGGAACUAGAUAGAGAAGAAUCAUGAAAAACAUAUAUUUGAAUAUAUCCAUCUAGUAUCCAUAUUGAAAUCGGAUACAAAUACAGAUAACCAUAUCAACAUUCAGACUGAUAUGUAUAUAAGAUCUUUUGGACAUUUAGACAUCCAAAUCCAUCCCUAAAGUUGUCUUAGAAAAUCCAAGAUGCUACAUAAAGAUUCUAAAAUCCAUGAUUUAGUCAUUCUUCUAAAAUAAAACAUCCUAAAAAACCAUAGUACUACAACAAUCUUUAUAAAUUUCCUAGUUUCAAAAUUUAAAACAAGCCCGACGCACCCAUGGCGCUUGGCGCAUAGUCUAGCGCCUACGGUAAAGUUUAUUUUGCCCUUAGACCAGUCUCAAUGCAUGUUUCAUAAGAGUGUCAUGCACAUUAAAUAGGAUGCCACAUAAGCAAAAUUACUGACUUGGCACGGUCAUUAAAUGAAGAAGUUUCAUCAGAUGAGAAGAGUUUCAUCCGCAUAAAACUCAUAUGGCUCGAUUACCUAGUUUGUAGUUUUGGUAACUGUGCCAUGAAACUAUGCAUUGAGACUGGCCUUACGGACAUGUGCCCUCACUCUCCCACCCAUUGAAUUCGCUUUGAGAAGUGUGCAAACGCACAUCUCAAUGCGAAACUGUUUUAAGAUGUGUGUUUGCACACUUCUCAAAGCAAAUUUAAUGGAUGAGAGAGUGAGGACAUGUACCCUUAGGCUCAAUACAUAGUUUCAUGGUACAGUUACCAAGACUAUAAACUAGGUAACCGUACCACAGAAGUUUUAUGGGGAUGAAACUCCUCUCUCAUCUGAUGAAACUCCUUUAUUUAAUGACUCUGUCAAGUCAGCAAUUUUGUUUAUGUGGCACCCUAUUUAAUGUGCAUGACACUCCCAUAAAACAUGCAUUGAGAAAAAAAAACCGCCUUCAUACAUCUACAAGCUCUUCAAUGCGACCAACGUCCCGGACCCGUGUAUGAAGUGAACUAGGACUAUAAAUUCUAGCAAACGAAAUCGAACAGAAGAAUUUUCUCUAUAUUCUAGCAAAGGCAUACAAGGGAAACUACAAUAUCUUGUCAGGGACAGAAAAGGCAGCUCAAGUGUAAUAUACGGUACGGCAGUACGCACGAGAUCAUUUAUCAUACACGUGUACGAAAACUACAAAAGGAAAAGAUGGCUGAGCUUCAGUUCACUGCAGCAACUGGGCCAUGACAUCUUGAGCGAUGACCCCAGCGUGGUGAGCAUCAGGCACUCGACUACACUCCACGAACCCAAGACCUGCCCAGGUAUUCUGAGGCUCCCUUAAUAGCCUGGCUGCACUGUGCCAACAUCUGAAGACAGCCAACGCCAAUCCACUCUUGUCUAGUGCCACAUUGUAUAGGUCACCAAACACAGAAAGUCUAACUGAGAGAUCAAAACAUGAAGUGCCCUCAACAACACCUGAUAGAAGCAAGGAUCUCUCCGGAAAGUCACCUCUGAGAACAGAAUCAGGGGAUACCAGAGUGCAAGACCUGAUAAGACAGUGGAGGAUCCCAAUAGUGUCACCAUCGCCAAGUCUCGCCUCUUGAUCAGACAUCCAGUCUCUCACGCGUUGAAACGCUACAGUGUCCAUCCAGUACCUCGCCUCCAUCCUGUCGGACUGCUGCUCAGGAGAGAUAUCAGAAGAUGCUGACUCAAAUCCAAAGACACUUGCGAAGCUAGGUUUCUGUCCAAAGAAACGUAUCCAUGCAUGUCUCCUCAGGUGUUUGUAGCAAAUACAUUGUGUCCUCUGAGCUUCCAAGCACCACAACAAUGAGUCCCUCUGACCGGUGGAUUAUCACGGCCUCAACUGUGUGAACAAGAUCGGUUUCAAACCGCAGGAAGUGUGCAAGGUCUGCUGCAUCGAGCUUCUGCGUAUCCAGCCCAGUGAACAGGAGCACGCGGCGCCUGUAACUCUCGUCGUCGUCUAUGACACACUGUGGCAGGAGCCGCCGGAGCAAGGUGGCAUCUCGGUCAGCAGGAUCAGCAAGUAAUGGAAAGAGUGACGAAUCAAACAGCUGAAGUCCCCUCUUUUUCAGCAAAUGAGGUGCCCUCCGGGCCACCAGCUCCGUGCUCUCGGUGUCAUCGUACACCAGGACGCCGGCUUGUCGAUCCCUGUGGACGAUUGCGGCAACCACAUACCCCCGAGCAAAAAGCACCUUCCAUGCCAAGUCACAUAAUCCAUAGGCUCCUUCGCUGAUCGGGGAUCUGCCAGCUCCAAUAAGAACGCAUCUCAGGUGGAACUCCCCAUCUUCAUCAGCAAGAAUGUACUGGGACGGUAGAAGCGACCGGAGCAUUCUGGCUGUGCAUCUCCUCACGAACUCGUCGGCAACACCGUCGAGGAUGUAUGAGCGUGAGACCUCCUCGUCGUGCCAGGUAGCCUAUUCAGUGAGAGUCAGAGACAAUAUUUCAGUUUGAAUGGAUUGUGCAUUAGACAGUAUUUCAGUUUUCGAAUGGAUUAAGCAUCAGCAUUACUGUGACGUUCAGAAUUGAUAGACAGACACACAAAAGGGUCACGGGAAGAUGACAGUGAGGACUCACCGGAGUGCAGGUGGCAUAGAGACCUUCGCGUGGUGUCUGAAUCGUAGCUGCAGCACUGUCAAUAGCAUCAAAGAAGACUAGAAGCCCAAUCCUGAAGCCAGUCUGGCUGUCCCGUACUAAAACUGCCGUCUGCACACCCAGUAUGCUCUGAAUCAAGUCGCACGGACUGACACUGGCUGGAACGCCGUCAAGCAGUAGACAUCUCUCAAGAAAGUGGGGGUCCUCCAGUACUUGUGGUGCCACGGUAUUCAUCAGGACUGCGAUCAAAUCCCUCAUGUAGCUGAAAGCCCGACCUUUCCUCUGCAAUGCAAUCGCGCGAACAAACGUCAGUAGAGCAAAACUGAAUGAACGAAACUGCAGUGACGGUCGUUCGACCGGCUAAAAGAAAGUAAUUCACGGAGCAAGAACAACACUGCAACAGCAGUUUGCAGGGCAAGAAGCCAAGAACACGGGGAGAAAAGAUAGCAAACAGCAAUUCGCCGCGAAUUCAUGUUCCAUUCAGUUUUGGAAUGAAUUAAACAUCAGCAUUACUGUGGCUAGUUUUGAAUGGAUUGUGCAUUAGACAGUAGUAUUUCAGUUUUGGAAUGGAUUAAGCAUCAGCAUUAUUGUGACUUUCAGAAUUGAUAGACAGACACACAAAAGGGUCACGGGAAGAGGACAGCGAGGACUCACAGGAGUGCAGGUGGCAUAGAGACCUUCGCGUGGUGUCUGAAUCGUAACUGCAGCACUGUCAAUAGCAUCAAUGAAGAUGAGAAGCCCAAUCCUGAAGCCAGUCUGGCUGUCCCGUACUAAAACUGCCAUCUGCACACCCAGUAUGCUCUGAAUCAAGUCGCACGGACUGACACUGGCUGGAACGCCGUCAAGCAGUAGACAUCUCUCAAGAAAGUGGGGGUCCUCCAGUACUUGUGGUGCCACGGUAUUCAGGACUGCGAUCAAAUCCCUCGUGGAGCUGAAAGCCCGACCUUUCCUCUGCAAUGCAAUCGCGCGAACAAACGUCAGUAGAGCAAAACUGAAUGAACGAAACUGCAAUGACGGUCGUCCGACCGGCUAAAAGAAAGUAAUUCACGGAGCAAGAACAACACUGCAACUAUCUGCUUAAUGAAAUACACGUCUUUGGCGUGCUCUAAAAAAAAUAAAAAUAAAAAGAACAACACUGCAACAGCAGUUUGCAGGGCAAGAAGCCAAGAACACGAGGAGAAAAGAUAGCAAACAGCAAUUCGCCGCGAAAUCAUGUUCCUUUCUUUCUCACCUAGCAGGGGCAAGAACAACACCGGGAACCAACAGCAAUUCGCGGCAAAUUCUCUCCCUAUCUUUCUCGUCGAGGAGAGGCAGAAGAACGAAAGCCAACAGCGACUCGCGAGCAGUUCACCGCGAAUUCACCUCCCUUUCUUUUUUUUCGCCGAACAGGGGCAAAAACCGAGGAGCAAGGCAGAAUGGAACGAACAACAAUUCGUGACCAAUUCCUCCCUUUCUCUGACGAACGAACAACCGUAAGGCAACAGCGAUUCGCGUGCCAAGAACACGACGUGCAAAGCAGAAUGGAACGAAGACCAGUUUACCGCGAAUUCAUCACCUCCCUUCUUUCUCACCGAGCAUGUGUAAGGACAACACCGGAAGGCAACAGAAAUUCGCGAGUCAAGAACACGACGGGCAAAACACAAUGAACAAACAGCAAUCCACGCGAAUCCUUUGCCCUUUCCUUCUUGGCGAGGAGGGCAAGAAUAACCGGAAGGCAACAGCGAUUCGCGAGGCAAGAACACGACGCGCAAAACAGAAUGGAACGAACAUCAGUUCACCGCGAAUUGACCUUCCUUCUUUCUCACCGAGAAGGUGCACAAACAACACCGGAAGCCAACAGCAAUUGCGGGUCAAGAACAUGACGGUCUGAUACAGAAUGAAGAAACAACAAUUCAUGAACUCCCCUCUCUUUCUUGCUUCGCGAGCAGGGCAAGAACAACAGGACGCCAACCGCAAUUUGCGAGGCAAGAACACGACGGGCACAAAUUCGACGCGAAAUCGCGAAUUCCUCUCCCACCGGGCAAGAACACGGCGGCCAAAAGAGCAAUGAACACGAUUACACGACCGGCAAGGAAACAACAGGAGAAAAGAAGAGCAAGAACGGCAAACAAGAAGACCGGAGGUAGGGGAAAGCACCUGUCUGGAAUGCCACAGGCCAGAGAGUAUGACGGGACGCGCACGCGCCGAAAUGGCACCGGCCGGAGGUGGGCGAGCCAUCUUCACCGGAGAAGAGAGCUUCGGGUCGCUGGAGAGGAAGAAGGCUUCGGAGGGUUUCUUCGGGUUUUCCCGUGAGGUUUGAGAGGUCGUGAGAGAGGGAAAAACAGGGGUUGGCGUUCUGUCUGGGCUCCGGCUUUUGUUUGCCAAACCGUCUUUCCCUGGAGAGAGGCCGAGGUGGCCUGAACGGAGACGAUGGAAGGGCCUAGAAAGCAGCCCGAGGUAUUCAUGUUCUGAUGUUCAUGGGCCCAAUUUGGUAUGGUUCCUGCCCUGAUGUGACUGGAAUGUGGUUUUUUUUUAAAGAUUAAGCGAUGGAAUGGUUUUCUUUGGUUAGUGGCCUGAAGACCGCAAGAGGCAUCCUGAUGUUGAAUGGCUUGUGUACCAUCAGGCUUCAGUGACUUGAAGACCGAAACAGAGGCAUUCAGUAUGAACAAUUGUGCUUAAUGUAAGCAAUUGCUGUAGUUUCGUAUGCAUUACUGUCCAGAAACUGGAACUGUAUAGGCCCGUCAACCAGCCGCUGUAUGGACUGGUUCCGCUUUUAUCUUUCCUUUGCACAAAAUUCAGUAAAAUGCAAUUGGGGGUGCUGCCAUGUACUUGUGCAAUUGGGGGUUCAGCUCAGCAGUUCAGAUUCCAAACCCAACAUACGGCUGGUUGUUUCGAUUCUGACGACUUGAUACAGGUGCUUUGUAAUUCUUGUGCGCGCGUCAGAACGAGGAAUAGCGGGCAUCUCGCCUUGUUGUUAUUGUCCGCAAAUCGUCGUGCUCCCCUCCCCUAAGCGCAUACAGCCGCAAGGCAAGAGGCAUCCAUCCUCGGAGAAGGCCAGAGCAACAUGCCGGCUGCCCUGAUGGGGCUGACGAUGGUCAGGCCACUGAUACAGUCCACUGAGUCCAGCAGCAAGGCAGUUUUGGCGGUGGCACCCGACUCGACGGCAGGCGGCACGGUGGCGGUUGAGGUGGAGCACGUGCACAGGACACUUGGCCGUCCACCGAGCUGAGCUCAUGCAUAGAUAGGCUCGUAAAGCUCGGGAUCUAGCAGGAUGUCGCCGGUGAAGGGGUUGAACAGCAGGGGCCCCGCGGCGCGUGUGGGUGUCGCCCACGACGAGGGCGAGCCACCCAUCUCGCGAGGCGCCGACGCACUGGUGACCUGUGGCGCCUGAUCCUAGUUGAACGGAGUGCAGACCGCCGUGAGGGAGCCUGGCUAGCGCCACCGCCCGCCGCGCAUGGAGGGAGCAGAGCAGGCUCGUCGCGCGGGAGGACAGCGCGGAGCGCCACGCGCCUCUGACGGAACGCGCGGGCGUGGCGGAGCGAGUUGAGAUAUUCCAUUCAGCCUCUGCCGACGCGGCGGCGCUUGCAUCGCCGUCGAGCGUCGAGGACGGAGAAGAGAUUUGGGACCGGUUUGCCGUCGUUUACUUGGGCCUUGUUUAGUUCCGAAAAAAUUUCGGAUUUCUGUAGCACUUUCGUUUGUUUGUGACAAAUAUUAUCUAAUUAUGGACUAACUAGGAUCAAAAGUUUCGUCUCGCGAUUUACAGUUAAACUGUGUAAUUAGUUUUUGCUUUCGUCUAUAUUUAAUACUUUAUGCAUUUGCCGCAAGAUUCGAUGUGACAGAGAAUCUUGAAAACUUUUUGCUUUUUGGAGUGAACAAAACAAGGCCUUGGUAGUUGGUUCUAAACCGUUUUGAGGCCAUCAGGCCAACCCGUUUCAAAGACCUGAGCGGAUUGGGUUCAUUAGCUGGUUUCAGCCCAACCCGUGAACAGGCCUACUUAGAGGAGCAGUACACUGUACACAGAGAACAUUUUCUGAUGCUCUACAUGGCCAUCCAAUCAGCAUAGUCGUCUAAUAUAGCGUUUGGUCUCGUAAUUUUGAGAUGUUACCCAUUCACAGAGUAAUCUGAGUAUUGUUUGGCUCACUUGGGCACAACAUGCAAACUGAUUAUCUACGAUCUGGCGUAGAACCAAACAAAAUGCAAAACUUGUUAUCCUGUAAUCAUCACCCCAAGCAUCUCAUAUACUCAAUCCAUCCUAAAUUAUAAGAAGUUUAACUUUUAUCACCAAGUUUAAUCACCUGUCUUAUUCAAAAAUGUGUGCAAAAUAUCAUUUCUUUUGUCAUGUCUUGGGAUAAAAAAGUCAAACAUCUUAUAAUUUGAGACGGAUGGAGUACCAUUUAUGUCUACAGUAUCAUUUAUGAACCGAACAGCACCUGAGAACGAAAAAUUGGAAUACCAAUUUGGACAUUCAGUUUGAAACAUAGGAUGCCAAACGAGCAACAGCCACAGAAACUAGAAUACACAAUUCAUGGUGUCCAGAUACGAUGCCAAUGCUUGAAAUUAAGAGUGUCAGUAGUGCGGUGCAAAAAUGUCUACCAUCGUAGGAUUUCUGAAUUCAAGACCACAAAAAUUUAGCCACGACACCUAAAGUGUCCAUCUCACAUUUCAACCAAUUGCUGUCGCAGGAUCCUACACGGCACUACUCAUCGUCCUCCUCACCAUCAUCGCCACCGCCUGAGGCCUUCUUCUGGUUCUUCCGCUUCACCCUUCCAGCUGGACCGCCACCUAGAGGGCUGGUGAGGGAGAAGUCAAUGUGCUUCUCUGAUUCGACCCUGACCAUGAACGAGGGGAUGUUGACGAGCUGCCUUCCCACCCUGUGAAAGUACAAUGUUAGAUCAUAAAGGAGACAAAAGUCUCAAAAAUCCAAGUUGCUAAACUGAACUUUUCUGUCAAUCUACCAAACUAUGGCAAGGAUUUAGAUUUAAAAGUAUAAGCAUCUCCAUGAAUAAUUUGGUCUCUUUCACCCCAGCUUGUUAUCUAUGUGGCACACAGAACUAAUUCAGUGAUACAUGUUACAAAAUAUCACUCUGUGCUAAGACGGUACAUGCAAAGCACUCUAUGUUACUAGAACACAAGUAAAGCAAUGAAUUAGAAAGCAACAACAUGAGGCAGAGUUACGACACUGACAACAUGAACCAGGACUGAGUCUGACAGGUUUGAGAAUGGGCAGAACAAGGCAUUCCAUAUAUUGAUUAGAAACUAAAGGAUCUGAAGGAAAUAUGACAACAUAAUCACACAUUGAAAGGAAAAAAAGGAAAACAGAAACAUGUUAUUUGUACUUCCAAUAGGGCACUCAGAAUGAAAAGGACAUAAGAAUCAUUGACCUUCUGGCCUCGGAGAUACAUUAGCAAAAUUAACUCCUCAUUGUGCCCAACAAAACAUAGAAAUAUAUGCAGACAUUCAAAGGAACAUGGCAUGAUGUGCAGGUAUAAAGCAAUUUGCAACAAAAAAACCAGAUUUGCAAAAGUACAGGGAGCUAAUGGACUUGAACUGAAUUGUCAACAUAAUAAAAUUUCUUACCCUUAUUAAACUACAUUAACAAAUAAUAAUAAUAAAGAAUGAAGGAUAAAAGACUGUUAAAACAAUAUACUGAACCACACAUCCCAAAUGUGCAGUGCCACCAGGAUUACACAUUUUUACACUGGAGAAGACAGAGCACGUACCUCACUACAGUAAACAAAAACCACAGAGAAAGGCAAGGGUCAUACAAAACUAUUCAUUAUGGUAAAAGGUAUAGGAAUCAAAUGUAACCAAGGGCAUCAGAGAAACAUGACUGCAACAUUACACACAAAGUGUCUCAGACGACCGUCGUGAGAAUUGCACAUGGUUUUUCAUCAUAUGGCCCAUCCAAGAUCAAAUGUGCCUUUACAACUAACAUACAACCAGCAGCCAUAAAAUAUAAAGAAAACUGAGCACAAACUGGAACAGUAUAUUGCAAACCCAUAACUAUCAUAGGAAAUGCUGGAAUGCCACAAGUCUAAGGAACAGAAGACAUCUACAUCUACAUAUACAAAGAAAACGUAGGAACUGCUCAGACCUGCAAUUACCAACUCUCUAUAUGUGAGCAUUUUAUGAUACAACUGAAAUUGAUGCACAUUUGAGGGAUCAGGACAUAUAAACGUACCUGAUGUGGCGCUGCCUGAUCAGGACACGAGCAUGGUGGAUGGACUUGGCCAUGCCAUUCUUGAAGACAAUGGUCUGGAGGCGGCGCUGGAGGAAGUUCUCAACAGUAAGGGCAAGCACGUAAUCGAGCUUGUUCUGUCCCUCACCCAGGAGACCAUAUCGGUUCAUGCGGCGGAGGAGCGCCUCACCCUCAAAGAUACGGCGUGGGUUCUUCUCAUCCAGAGUGAGAAGCUCCCUGGCUGCAUUUCUGAUACGGCUCAGGGCAUACUGCACGCGCCACAGCUCACGCUUGCAGCGCAGGCCAUACUCACCAACCAGCUUCAGCUCAGCAUCUAGUCGCUCCUUCUCAUACGGACGCCUUGGCUUCUUGAAAGUCUUCCCAUCUGCAACAUGCAACAACAUCAUAAGCUACUGAUUGCACUACAAAAAUUAGCUUUGGGAAAUAACUGAGAGGGGUAUCUGUAACAACUAAACUGUCACAAUCAGUUACUUCCUAGUAUUGAUAACGCAGCUAGAGCCUAUACUAGAUGGUGCUAACCGUUUGACUGGUUGAGCAACAACAAAAAUUGCAAGAAUACUUUAAGGACAUUGUCUGAUACUAUUUGAUUUUAAGGAGUACUAAGCCAGUACAAAGCUUGGCGUUUAGAAUUAUGAUCCAGCACCAUUUCACCCUGAUAUACGGAUUUCAACCUACAUGCAUAUCCGCGCAAUCAGCUCACCUUAAGGGCAAUCCACCAAACUUUAGACUUGACGGAUCAAAGCAAAGCCGAAAGGUAUUGUUCGACCAUCCGAAUUGCUACUAUUAAGUGUAUCCCAAAGGAAAAUUCAUCACUAUAUAUACUGCAUUCCCAACACUACUGGUGGAACAAUCUAGAGAACCGCAAGGAACUAACAGCACGAGCUGGAUCGACCUAGAUAUCUACUGUACGUCUAUGGAAGUCACAAGGCAACAUGCAUAUAAUGCAGUAGAAGAGGGGAUCUUACAGUUGCGGUAGAAGCUAACAUGCACCAUGGCUGCCGCGGCAGGGUGGCGCGGUUGGUCGUCGAGUUGCCGCCGCCGGAGGAAGUGCGAGAGACGGGAGGCGGGGAUGGAAGACGAGAUCUUAUAAGGGAUGUAAACCCUAGCUUUGAUUAGAUGGGCCGGGCUUCAAUAAAUUCUGUCUGUUCACUUAUUUAAGUGUCAUCGGCCCGGUCUGUGUUGCUAUGGGCUUUUUUCGCUAGAUGGGCACCCCGAACGCGGCUCACAGCCCACGUUCUUUUUUGCUCUGGCGACACGCGCACGCGCGCCUGCCGCCUGCCGAACAGUCGUCGACGUCUCCUCGACGAACUCAUGCGACCGAGCCGCGGCGCCCGCCUGCCCAACCCAACCGAGAGCGAUGCCGCCGCGGAAGCCACUGACGGCGCUGCUGAAGUCGGCGACGCGGCCGGUGCACCUGCUCCAGCUCCACGCCCUGAUGCUGAAAUGCUCCCACUUCCCGCACCACGCGUUCCCCACAGCCAGGCUUCUCGCCUCCCCGCUCGCGCCGCUCCCCUACGCGCUCUCCCUCUUCGCCGCCGUCCCGCGGCCCACGCUCUUCCACCACACUGCCGUCCUCCGCGCGCUUUCCUCGUGCCCCUCCGUGGCCUCCCUUUCCGCGUCCCUCUCAGUCCUCGCCUCCGCGCGGGCGCGCCUCCCCGAGCUCGACGAGUUGCGUUCCAGCCGCUGCUCGCGCUCUGCGCGAAAAUGCCCAGUGACGCCGAGGCAGCUUCGGUUGGCAAGCAGGUGCACGCGCUCGUGCUGCGGUACGGGUUCCUGGACGUUGUGAGCCUGCGGAAUGUGCUGUGCCACUUUUACUGCAGCAGUGGGAACAUGGCGGACUCGCGGAGGAUGUUCGAGGAAAUGCCUGAGAAGGACGCUGUGUCGUGGAACACGGUGAUUGGGGGCUAUGUCAGGGUAGAGGAUGUGGGCACAGCUUUGCAGAUGUUCACCGCGAUGAGGUGGUCUGGAGUGGAUGUCAACGUGACGGCAGUGAUCACCUUGAUUGGGUGUGGCUGGCAAGGGGAGUCAGUGCAUGGCUUAUGUGUUAAGACAGGGCUCUGCGACGAUGUGAAGAUUGCAGCAGCAAUGAUGGGGAUGUAUGUGAGGGAGGGCAGCGUUGAGUGUGCAAAUAAGGUGUUUCAUGAGACCACUAGACGAGACUUGGUGCUGUGUAAUUGUAUGGUGGAUGGCUAUGCAAAGGCAGGGCAGAUUCGUGAGGCGAUGGACUUGAUUGAUGGAAUGAGACAGCACGGGAUGAGACCUAGUUCAGGGACGCUUGUGGGUGUUCUCUCUGCGUGUGGAACAUCUGGGGCAUUGGCAGCCGGUCAUUCUGUCCAUGAGCUUGCUGAAGAUGCACGGCUUGAGAUUGACAGCACGCUUGGGACAGCGCUCAUGGACAUGUACUUCAAGUGUGGGUGCCCCAGCGAGGCAGCUGCAGUCUUCGAUGCAAUACGAAAUAGGGACGUGAAGGCAUGGACAGCGAUGAUCAUGGGAUUCGGAGUUAAUGGGCAGCCAGGCUCAACCAUCACCUUGUUCUACAGGAUGGAGGAAGACGGUGUGUUUCCUAAUGACGUCACCUUCCUAGCCCUGCUAACUGCUUGUAACCAUGGCGGGUUGGUGCAGGAAGCGAAAGAAUUCCUUGAGACAAUGGCACGGCGAUACAGAUUGUCUCCAAGCCCCGAGCACUACAGCUGCGUCAUUGAUCUCCUGGGAAGAGCAGGGCGCCUAUACGAAGCCUAUGAGCUCAUACAAAGCGUGUCAUCCCAGGGUGAUGCUACUGCAUGGAGAGCGUUGCUUGCAGCCUGCAGAGUGUAUGGCAAUGUGAAGCUGGGGAGGAUGGUGCAGGAAUAGUUGGACGCCAUUGGCCACUACCAUCCUUCAGAUGCCAUUCUGCUGUCAAACGCGUACGCAUUGGAAGGCCGGUGGGAUGAGAUAGCUCAGCUGAGGGAUUCAGAAGCACAGAAAAUAUCUGUGGAGAAGGAAACAGGCUGCAGCUCCAUUAUUGUGUCUUGCUGAUGUAUUCAGACUUGCUGAAUUUAAGCAACUAACAACUGAACUCAAGGUGGGAUUCCCAGGCAGACUAGCUUUUGAUCGGGGUUAUCCAAACUUGUACAGAACUAAAUAUAAAUAGAAGAGUGAUUAAAAUGUUUUCUAGAAUCGGGUCAACUUUGAACUGCUUGGUUCAACUUGUAUAUGUAGCCAAUGGCGUCCAACUGUGCCUGCAACCUGCAGAUUGACAACUAGUAGUAAGAAAAGAGACCGAAGGUUGGAAAUAGAUAAAAGGUGAGAUAGAAUGUCCAUAAGGAUUGUGUACCCAAAGCCUGUUUAGGAUAAACAGACAACAAAGUUGUUCAGUAGCUGAUAUGUAUUAGGAAGAGUGGAACUUGGAGUUUAUGAAAAAACUUGGAGACGAUGAUGUAGAGGAAUGGGAGAAACUAAUGGCGUCUUUGGAAAUGUGGAGGUGACUAGUGAGGAGAAUAGCUGGGGUUAUAUAAGCUUGAAUCCACUGGCAAGUUCUCCAUAAAAUCUCUCUAUAUAGGUUGAUGACCUUGGAGUGGUGGUUGAUCAAAAAAUGAAAGACAUUUGGGACACUAGGUUACCUCUAAAAAUAAAUUUUUUGUGUGUGUAUGAUUUAGGCAUAAAAGUGGAACUGGUGAGCAUUUGAAGAGGAGAAAGUGGAAAGGCAGCUAUCUUCCUCUUUAUUCCCACAAAACAAAAUAUGAAUAUUUUUGGCAUGUAGGUCGAUUUAGUUCUACCAUUAGUUAAACUUAAAAAUGUUAUCGGGUUUAUAAAUAAUUGAAUUUGAAAAUGUAAUAAGGAGCAACGAGUUUCUUGCGUGCUACUACAAGAGAUGAGGAAGACGAAUAACGAGGACAAGGUGUGGUCAAAGUGACUCUCACUACUUUACCCUAUUGUUGGAUAGAUUGCAUUGUGUCGAAGUGAGGUCGUUGGUGUCAAUGAUGAGUGUGUACGAACACAGAAAAAUUAUCCUUAAAGGACAUAUGUCCCAUGUGCAUUACCAACACAAACACUUUGCUAAGGGCACAUGCCCCAUAUGCAUCAUUGGUAAGCACGAAGCACAUCUGGGUAUGUUUAGUUUCUCAUGACUAAAAUUUAACUAUUAAAAUCAAUUACUAAAACUUUAGUCGCCCCUAUUUCGUUCCAGUGACUAAAAGUUACUGAAGGCCAUGAAAUCAGUUCAACAAAGACCAAACUAUGGUGGGGGACUAGAAAUAAUGAGGGGCAACCCCUGUCCACUUGGCACUUUAGCCCACUUUAGUCAUUCCUGAUGUACUAAUAUGACUAAACUACUUUAGUCCCAUUUUAGUCAAUUUGUUUGGCAGUUUAGUAGCUGAAGUGAGGGGAAAACCAAAUAGGCCCCUUACGAUCCUAUUAGCUAGAGGAAGGUCCGAAGUCUAAACAAAUGCCUACUUUAGGGACUUGAACUUUAGCUCACGAGGUAGGCGAUGGUAGAACUGAAGUCCACGAUGGUGCCACCUACGACAUCUUUCACCUUAAAAGUAGAACGUGUUUACCAAACGUUUUUUUUAACUAAUGAAGUUGGAGCCAAAUGACGACCAAAGUGUUGUGAUCCGAGGUGAUGGUGGGGGUUUGUGCCCGGCCGCUAAAUCCGCCUCUGACUGGUACAGUAGCUGAGGCACUUGAACAACUCGUACUGAUGCUCGUCGGUUUAUUUCUAUGGCUUUUCCAUACUUGGUGAUGCUGGUGCCAUCCAUCCACAAGUGACCAUCUGCAUCCAUUGUUGGCCCGUAAAUCUGUGACCUUCUUGAUGGCACGAACGAACUGGUGACUGGACCCUCGUUGAGGUAGUUUUGGAACACAAUCGCUGGCCUAGAUUCCAUCUACAGUGGUGUUGUUGAUUGUGUGCUACCUUCGAUCCUUGUUGCCUCCACAGUUGGCUCUGUGCUACCUUCUGCGGAUACUGACACCGAAUCUCCCGUAGUCGACGCAGCUGAGGGGUACAAAUUAACCUAUAAUAAUUGUUAAAAAAAAUUAACAUAACAAAUUGAUAACACAGAAUACUGAAUUGUUUUUUUCAGAGUAGUACACACAUUGUGAGAGGGGGGCAAGCAAAUUAAACAAAAGAGCACGAUCGAGUACCUACCUUGAUACUGCUCGGAUGGAUGAAAAUAGUGGGGAGCGCUAGGUGGGGAGGCGGAACUGCGCUAUACACCCCGUGCGAUGCCUCCUCCUGCCUCGAGAAAGCGAUCGGGACGGUCGCUUCGUCCCUGAAGACGAUCACCGCCAUGCCCAGGUGUCGGCACAAGGCGAUCGCCUCGAUGGCGCCGAACCGCGCCAGAUCGGCGCGCAGGUCGUCGUCGCCAUUGUCGGGGAAGAACAAGUCGAGACGCUGGGCGAGGAUGCUGCGGCUAUGGAAACUGGCCGGGUCCCCGGAGAGUUGGCUCCCUGCGGCUGCGGCUGCGGGGGCCAGGAGGUCGCGCGCCAGGGUCGCCCUCUCCACGACGUGACCGUACAUGCGCCGUAGGUUUUCUAGGGUCACCAUGUUUGUUUCUUGGAUGGAUCUCUGCUGGGUGCCCUUACUCUGGUUGCCUUGUGUGUUCCUGGAUCUUUGUUACGCGCGUGCAUGCGUGUAUAUAUACAAAAGUACUACUAGUAUAUGCGGAGGGCAUGGCAUCGGAUCGGACACGGAAACAGACUCCGAACCAGAUAGACUUCGCAUGCUAACGGACUACAUACGGUGGGUGUAACAAGAUAUAGUUUAUAUUUCAAUAGCAAAACAUUUAAAACAUCAAUAAAAGUGUGGAUAAGUAUUUCAACAUGUACAAAUAUUUAAAUCAAUUAAUAAAUUUGAAUAUAUAAAAAUAAUGCAUAAUGAAUAUGUAAAUAUAGUAAAGUACUUAAAAUUAGUAUGACUAUACAUAUUAAAGUUAACUAAACUUGUCCUUUAUAUAUCAUAAACUAUGAUGUUAUUUUUAAUAGUUUUGCAUUAUCAUAAAUAUAAGUUUUAAAUUAUAAAAAAAUAAACUUAACAUUUAUGAUUAGUCAUAUUAGCAAUAUAGCUAACUUUUAAAAGGUUUAAAUGAGUUAUAUUAAAAAAAGUAUCAUUUAGAUUGUGAAUUAGUCAUAAAUAUAAUUUCACACGGUACAUUGUUCUUCAUGGUAUAGAUAACAUUGGAUAUUUUACAUUUUUCAAAUAUGGAUGUGGAACUAGAUAGAGAAGAAUCAUGAAAAACAUAUAUUUGAAUAUAUCCAUCUAGUAUCCAUAUUGAAAUCGGAUACAAAUACAGAUAACCAUAUCAACAUUCAGACUGAUAUGUAUAUAAGAUCUUUUGGACAUUUAGACAUCCAAAUCCAUCCCUAAAGUUGUCUUAGAAAAUCCAAGAUACUACAUAAAGAUUCUAAAAUCCAUGAUUUAGUCAUUCUUCUAAAAUAAAACAUCCUAAAAAACCAUAGUACUACAACAAUCUUUAUAAAUUUUCUAGUUUCAAAAUUUAAAACAAGCCCGACGCACCCAUGGCGCUUGGCGCAUAGUCUAGCGCCUACGGUAAAGUUUAUUUUGCCCUUAGACCAGUCUCAAUGCAUGUUUUAUAAGAGUGUCAUGCACAUUAAAUAGGAUGCCACAUAAGCAAAAUUACUGACUUGGCACGGUCAUUAAAUGAAGAAGUUUCAUCAGAUGAGAGAAGAGUUUCAUCCGCAUAAAACUCAUAUGGCUCGAUUACCUAGUUUGUAGUUUUGGUAACUGUGCCAUGAAACUAUGCAGUGAGACUGGCCUUACGGACAUGUGCCCUCACUCUCCCACCCAUUGAAUUCGCUUUGAGAAGUGUGCAAACGCACAUCUCAAUGCGAAACUGUUUUAAGAUGUGUGUUUGCACACUUCUCAAAGCAAAUUUAAUAGAUGAGAGAGUGAGGACAUGUACCAUUAGGCUCAAUGCAUAGUUUCAUGGCACAGUUACCAAGACUAUAAACUAGGUAACCGUGCCACAGAAGUUUCAUGGGGAUGAAACUCCUCUCUCAUCUGAUGAAACUCCUUCAUUUAAUGACUCUGUCAAGUCAGUAAUUUUGCUUAUGUGGCACCCUAUUUAAUGUGCAUGAUACUCCCAUGAAACAUGCAUUGAGAAAAAAAAACCGCCUUCAUACAUCUACAAGCUCUUCAAUGCGACCAACGUCCCGGACCCGUGUAUGAAGUGAACUAGGACUAUAAAUUCUAGCAAACGCACAUCGAACAGAAGAAUUUUCUCUAUAUUCUAGCAAAGGCAUACAAGGGAAACUACAAUAUCUUGUCAGGGACAGAAAAGGCAGCUCAAAUGUAAUAUACGGUACGGCAGUACGCACGAGAUCAUUUAUCAUACACGUGUAUGAAAACUACAAAAGGAAAAGAUGGCUGAGCUUCAGUUCACUGCAGCAACUGGGCCAUGACAUCUUGAGCGAUGACCCCAGCGUGGUGAGCAUCAGGCACUCGACUACACUCCACGAACCCAAGACCUGCCCAGGUAUUCUGAGGCUCCCUUAAUAGCCUGGCUGCACUGUGCCAACAUCUGAAGACAGCCAACGCCAAUCCACUCUUGUCUAGUGCCACAUUGUAUAGGUCACCAAACACAGAAAGUCUAACUGAGAGAUCAAAACAUGAAGUGCCCUCAACAACACCUGAUAGAAGCAAGGAUCUCUCCGGAAAGUCACCUCUGAGAACAGAAUCAGGGGAUACCAGAGUGCAAGACCUGAUAAGACAGUGGAGGAUCCCAAUAGUGUCACCAUCGCUAAGUCUCGCCUCUUGAUCAGACAUCCAGUCUCUCACGCGUUGAAACGCUGCAGUUUCCAUCCAGUACCUCGCCUCCAUCCUGUCGGACUGCUGCUCAGGAGAGAUAUCAGAAGAUGCUGACUCAAAUCCAAAGGCACUUGCGAAGCUAGGUUUCUGUCCAAAGAAACGUAUCCAUGUCUCCUCAGGUGUUUGUAGCAAACACAUUGUGUCCUCUGAGCUUCCAAGCACCACAACAAUGAGUCCCUCUGACCGGUGGAUUAUCACGGCCUCAACUGUGUGAACAAGAUCGGUUUCAAACCGCAGGAAGUGUGCAAGGUCUGCUGCAUCGAGCUUCUGCGUAUCCAGCCCAGUGAACAGGAGGACGCGGCGCCUGUAACUCUCGUCGUCGUCUAUGACACAUUGUGGCAGCAGCCGCCGGAGCAAGGUGGCAUCUCGGUCAGCAGGAUCAGCAAGUAAUGGAAAGAGUGACGAAUCAAACAGCUGAAGUCCCCUCUUUUUCAGCAAAUGAGGUGCCCUCCGGGCCACCAGCGCCGUGCUCUCGGUGUCAUCGUACACCAGGACGCCGGCUUGUCGAUCCCUGUGGACGAUUGCGGCAACCACAUACCCCCGAGCAAAAAGCACCUUCCAUGCCAAGUCACAUAAUCCAUAGGCUCCUUCGCUGAUCGGGGAUCUGCCAGCUCCAAUAAGAACGCAUCUCAGGUGGAACUCCCCAUCUUCAUCAGCAAGAAUGUACUGGGACGGUAGAAGCGACCGGAGCAUUCUGGCUGUGCAUCUCCUCACGAACUCGUCGGCAACACCGUCGAGGAUGUAUGAGCGUGAGACCUCCUCGUCGUGCCAGGUAGCCUAUUCAGUGAGAGUCAGAGACAAUAUUUCAGUUUGAAUGGAUUGUGCAUUAGACAGUAUUUCAGUUUUCGAAUGGAUUAAGCAUCAGCAUUACUGUGACGUUCAGAAUUGAUAGACAGACACACAAAAGGGUCACGGGAAGAUGACAGUGAGGACUCACCGGAGUGCAGGUGGCAUAGAGACCUUCGCGUGGUGUCUGAAUCGUAGCUGCAGCACUGUCAAUAGCAUCAAAGAAGACUAGAAGCCCAAUCCUGAAGCCAGUCUGGCUGUCCCGUACUAAAACUGCCGUCUGCACACCCAGUAUGCUCUGAAUCAAGUCGCACGGACUGACACUGGCUGGAACGCCGUCAAGCAGUAGACAUCUCUCAAGAAAGUGGGGGUCCUCCAGUACAUGUGGUGCCACGGUAUUCAGGACCGCGAUCAAAUUCCUCAUGUAGCUGAAAGCCCGACCCUUCCUCUGCAAUGCAAUCGCGUGAACAAACGUCAGUAGAGCAAAACUGAAUGAACGAAACUGCAGUGACGGUCGUUCGGUCGGCUAAAAGAAAGUAAUUCACGGAGCAAGAACAACACUGCAACAGCAGUUUGCAGGGCAAGAAGCCAAGAACACGGGGAGAAAAGAUAGCAAACAACAAUUCGCCGCGAAUUCAUGUUCCAUUCUUUCUCGCCUUGCAGGGGCAACAACAACACCGGGAGCAACACUAAUCCGCGCGCAAGGACACGAGGAGCAAAACAGAACAAAAGCAAUUCGCCGCAAAUUCCUGUCCCUAUCACCGAAAGCCAACAGCGAGUUCACCGCGAAUUCACCUCCCUUUCUUUUUCUCUCCGAACAGGGGCAAAAACCGAGGAGCAAGACAGAAUGGAACGAACAGCAAUCCGUGACAAAUUCCUCCCUUCCUCUGACGAAAGAACAACCGUAAGGCAACAGCGAUUCGCGUGGCAAGAACACGACGUGCAAAGCAGAAUGGAACGAAGACCAGUUUACUGCGAAUUCAUCACCUCCCUUCUUUCUCACCGAGCUCCGAGCAUGUGUAAUGUAAGGACAACACCGGAAGGCGACAGCAAUUCGCGAGUCAAGAACACGACGGGCAAAACACAAUGAACAAACAGCAAUCCGCGCGAAUCCUUUGCCCUUUCUUUCUCGGCGAGGAGGGCAAGAACAACCGGAUGGCAACAGCGAUUCGCGAGGCAAGAACACGACGCGCAAAAAAGAAUGGAACGAACAUCAGUUCACCGCGAAUUGACCUCCCUUCUUUCUCACCGAGCAGGUGCACAAACAACUCCGGAAGCCAACAGCAAUUGCGGGUCAAGAACAUGACGGCCUGAUACAGAAUGAAGAAACAGCAAUUCGUGCGAACUCCCCUCUCUUUCUUGCUCCGCGAGCAGGGCAAGAACAACCGGACGCCACCCGCAAUUUGCGAGGCAAGAACACGACGGGCACAAAUUCGACGCGGAAUCGCGAAUUCCUCUCCCACCGGGCAAGAACACGACGGCCAAAAGAGCAAUGAACACGAUUACACGACCGGCAAGGAAACAACAGGAGAAAAGAAGAGCAAGAACGGCAAACAAGAAGACCGGAGGUAGGGGAAAGCACCUGUCUGGAAUGCCACAGGCCAGAGAGUAUGACGGGACGCGCACGCGCCGAAAUGGCACCGGCCGGAGGUGGGCGAGCCAUCUUCACCGGAGAAGAGAGCUUCGGGUCGCUGGAGAGGAAGAAGGCUUCGGAGGGUUUCUUCGGGUUUUCCCGUGAGGUUUGAGAGGUCGCGAGGGAGGGAAAAACAGGGGUUGGCGUUCUGUCAGGGCUCCGGCUUUUGUUUGCCAAACCGUCUUUCCCUGGAGAGAGGCCGAGGCGGCCUGAACUGAGACGAUGCAAGGGCCAGCCCGAGGUAUUCAUGUUUUGAUGUUCAUGGGCCCAAUUUGGUAUGGUUCCUGCCCUGAUGUGAUCAGAAUGUGUUUUUUUUAAUUAAGCGAUGGAAUGGUUUUCUUUGGUCAAUGACCUGAAGACCGCAAGAGGCAUCCUGAUGUUGAAUGGCUUGUGUACCAUGACUACCAUCAAGGCUUCAGUGACUUGAAGACCGAAACAGAGGCACUCAGUAUCUACAUACUGCAUACUAUCAACAAUUGCUGCAUAAUGCAAGCAAUUGCUGUAGUUUCGUAUGCAUUACUGUCCAGGUUUCUGGAACUGUAUAGGCCCGUCAACCAGCCGCUCUAUGAACUGGUUCCGCUUUUAUCUUUCCUUUGCACAAAAUUCAGUAAAAUGCAAUUGGGGGUGCUGCCAUGUCCUUGUACAAUUGGGGGUUCAGCUCAGCAAUUCAGAUUCCAAACCCAACAUACGGCUGGUUGUUUCGAUUCCGACGAGUUGAUACAGGUGCUUUGUAAUUCUUGUGCGCGCGUCAGAACGAGCAACAGCCCUAAGCGCAUGCAGCCGCAAGGCAAGGGGCAUCCAUCCUCGGAGAAGGCCAGAGCGACAUGCCGACUGCCCUGAUGGCUGACGAUGGUCAGGCCACUGAUACAGUCCACUGAGUCCAGCAGCAAGGCAGUUUUGGCAGUGGCACCCGACUCGACGGCAGGCGGCACGGUGGCGGUUGAGGUGGAGCACGUGCACAGGACACUUGGCCGUCCAUCGAGCUGAGCUCAUGUCGUAAAGCUCGGGAUCUAGCAGGAUCUCACCGGUGAAGGGGUUGAACAGCAGGGGCCCCGCGGCGCGUGUGGGCGUCGCCCACGACGAGGGCGAGCCACCCAUCUCGCGAGGCGCCGACGCACUGGUGACCUGUGGCGCUGAUCCUAGUGGAACGGAGUGCAGACCGCCGUGAGGGAGCCUGGCUAGCGCCACCGCCCGCCGCGCGUGGAGGGAGCAGAGCAGGCUCGUCGCGCGGGAGGACAGCGCGGAGCCGCGAGAACGGCGACGGGAGCGCGGAGCGCCACGCGCCUCUGACGGAACGCGCGGGCGUGGCGGAGCGAGUUGAGAUAUUCCAUUCAGCCUCUGCCGACGCGGCGGCGCCUGCAUCGCCGUCGAGCGUCGAGGACAGAGAAGAGAUUUGGGACCGGUUUGCCGUCGUUUACUUGGUAGUUGGUUCUAAACCGUUUUGAGGCCAUCAGGCCAACCCGUUUCAAAGACCUGAGCGGAUUGGGUUCAUUAGCUGGUUUCAGCCCAACCCGUGAACAGGCCUAGAGGAGCAGUACACAGAGAACAUUUUUUGAGGCUCUACAUGGCCAUCCAAUCAGCAUAUAGUCGUAUAAUGUAGCGUUUGGUUUCGUAAUUUUGAGAUGUUACCCAUUCACAGAGUAAUCUGAGUUUUGUUUGGCUCAGUUGGGCACUUGCGUAAUCAGGCCCCGUGUAAUCAGGUCUGAGGUUAGUGCAAAUCCAGCGCUAACGGUUACCACAGCUCCACGGACCAAGGGCCAUAGGCGAACCUGAACGAAAUACACAACAUGCAAACUGAUUAUCUACGAUCUGGCGUAAAUGCAAAACUGGUUAUCCUUACUCAAUCCAUCCUAAAUUAUAAGAAGUUUAACUUUUGACACCAAGUUUAAUCACCUGUAUUAUUCAAAAAUGUAUGCAAAAUAUCAUUUCUUUUGUCAUGUCUUGGGAUAAAAAAGUCAAACAUCUUAUAAUUUGAGACGGAUGGAGUACCAUUUAUGUCUACAGUAUCAUUUAUGAACCGAACAGCACCUGAGAACGAAAAGUUGGAAUACCAAUUUGAUUCAGACAUUCAGUUUUAAACAUAGGAUGCCAAACGAGCAAAUAGCCACCGAAACUAGAAUACACAAUUCAUGGUGUCCAGAUACGAUGCCAAUGCUUGAAAUUAAGAGUGUCAGUAGUGCGGUGCAAAAUUGUCUACCAUAGUAGGAUUUCUGAAUUCAAGACCACAAAAAUUUAGCCACGACACCUAAAGUGUCCAUCUCACAUUUCAACCAAUUGCUGUCGCAGGAUCCUACAUGGCAUUACUCAUCGUCGUCCUCACCAUCAUCGCCACCGCCUGAGGCCUUCUUCUGGUUCUUCCGCUUCACCCUUCCAGCUGGACCGCCACCCAGAGGGCUGGUGAGGGAGAAGUCAAUGUGCUUCUCUGAUUCGACCCUGACCAUGAACGAGGGGAUGUUGACGAGCUGCCUUCCCACCCUGUGAAAGUACAAUGUUAGAUCAUAAAUCAUAAAGGAGACAAAAGUCUCAGAAAUCCAAGUUGCUAAACUGAACUUGUCUGUCAAUCUACCAAACUAUGGCAAGGAUUUAGAUUUAAAAGUAUAAGCAUCUCCAUGAAUAAUUUGGUCUCUUUCACCCCAGCUUGUUAUCUAUGUGGCACACAGAAUUAAUUCAGUGAUACAUGUUACAAAAUAUCACAUUGUGCUAAGACGGUACAUGCAAAGCACUCUAUUUUACUAGAACACAAGUAAAGCAAUGAAUUUGAAAGUAACAACAUGAGGCAGAGUUACGACACUGACAACAUAAACCAGGACUGAGUCUGACAGGUUUGAGAAUGGCCAGAACAAGGCAUUCCAUAUAUUGAUUAGAAACUAAAGGAUCUGAAGGAAAUAUGACAACAUAAACACACAUUGAAAGGAAAAAAGGAAAACAGAAACAUGUUAUUUGUACUUCCAAUAGGGCACUCAGAAUGAAAAGGACAUAAGAAUCAUUGACCUUCUGGCCUCGGAGAUACAUUAGCAAAAUUAACUCCUCAUUGUGCCCAACAAAACAUAGAAAUAUAUGCAGACAUUCAAAGGAACAUGGCAUGAUGUGCAGGUAUAAAGCAAUUUGCAACAAAAAAACCAGAUUUGCAAAACUACAGGGAGCUAAUGGACUUGAACUGAGUUGUCAACAUAAUAAAAUUUCUAGGAUAUCAGAAUGAAGGAGGCUGUUAAAACAAUAUACUGAACCACACAUCCCAAAUGUGCAGUGCCACCAGGAUUACACAUUUUUACACUGGAGAAGACAGAGCAAGUACCUCACUACAGUAAACAAAAACUACAGAGAAAGGCAAGGGUCAUACAAAACUAUUCAUUAUGGUAAAAUGUAUAGGAAUCAAAUGUAACCAAGGGCAUCAGAGAAACAUGACUGCAACAUUACACACAAAGUGUCUCAGACGACCGUCGUGAGAAUUGCACAUGGUUUUUCAUCAUAUGCCCCAUCCAAGAUCAAAUGUGCCUUUACAACUAACAUACAACCAGCAGCCACAAAAUAUAAAGAAAACUGAGCACAAACUGGAACAAUAUAUUGCAAACCCAUAACUAUCAUAGGAAAUGCUGGAAUGCCACAAGUCUAAGGAACAGAAGACAUCUACAUAUACAAAGAAAACGUAGGAACUGCUCAGACCCGCAAUUACCAACUCUCUAUAUGCGAGCAUUUUAUGAUACAACUGAAAUUGAUGCACAUUUGAGGGAUCAGGAGCAUAUAAACGUACCUGAUGUGGCGCUGCCUGAUCAGGACACGAGCAUGGUGGAUGGACUUGGCCAUGCCAUUCUUGAAGACAAUGGUCUGGAGGCGGCGCUGGAGGAAGUUCUCAACAGUAAGGGCAAGCACGUAAUCGAGCUUGUUCUGUCCCUCACCAAGGAGACCAUAUCGGUUCAUGCGGCGGAGGAGCGCCUCACCCUCAAAGAUACGGCGUGGGUUCUUCUCAUCCAGAGUGAGAAGCUCCCUGGCUGCAUUUCUGAUACGGCUCAGGGCAUACUGCACGCGCCACAGCUCACGCUUGCAGCGCAGGCCAUACUCACCAACCAGCUUCAGCUCAGCAUCUAGUCGCUCCUUCUCAUACGGACGCCUUGGCUUCUUGAAAGUCUUCCCAUCUGCAACAUGCAACAACAUCAUAAGCUACUGAUUGCACUACAAAAAUUAGCUUUGGGAAAUAACUGAGAGGGGUAUCUGUAACAACUAAACUGUCACAAUCAGUUACUUCCUAGUAUUGAUAACGCAGCUAGAGCCUAUACUAGAUGGUGCUAACCGUUUGACUGGUUGAGCAACAACAAAAAUUGCAAGAAUACUUUAAGGACAUUGUCUGAUACUAUUUGAUUUUAAGGAGUACUAAGCCAGUACAAAGCUUGGCGUUUAGAAUUAUGAUCCAGCACCAUUUCACCCUGAUAUACAGAUUUCAACCUACAUGCAUAUCCGCGCAAUCAGCUCACCUUAAGGGCAAUCCACCAAACUUUAGACUUGACGGAUCAAAGCAAAGCCGAAAGGUAUUGUUCGACCAUCCGAAUUGCUACUAUUAAGUGUAUCCCAAAGGAAAAUUCAUCACUCUAUAUACUGCAUUCCCAACACUACUGGUGGAACAAUCUAGAGAACCGCAAGGAACUAACAGCACGAGCUGGAUCGACCUAGAUAUCUACUGUACGUCUAUGGAAGUCACAAGGCAACAUGCAUACAAUGCAGUAGAAGAGGGGGAUCUUACAGUUGCGGUAGAAGCUAACAUGCACCAUGGCUGCCGCGGCAGGGUGGCGCGGUUGGUCGUCGGGUUGCCGCCGCCGGAGGAAGUGCGAGGGACGGAGGCGUGGAUGGAAGACGAGAUCUUAUAAGGGAUGUAAACCCUAGCUUUGAUUAGAUGGGCCGGAUUUCAAUAAAUUCUGUCUGUUCACUUAUUUAGGUGUCAUCGGCCCGGUCUGUGUUGCUAUGGGCUUUUUUCGCUAGAUGGGCACCCCGAACGCGGCUCACAGCCCACUUUUUUUUUUUUUUUGCGCUGGCGACACGCGCACGCGCGCCUGCCGCCUGCCGAACAGUCGACGUCUCCUCGACGAACUCAUGCGACCGAGCCGGCGAGCCCGACGUCGUGCCCUCCCGCCCGCCCAACCCAACCGAGAGCGAUGCCGCCGCGGAAGCCACUGACGGCGCUGCUGAAGUCGGCGACGCGGCCGGGGCACCUGCUCCAGCUCCACGCCCUGAUGCUGAAAUGCUCCCACUUCCCGCACCACGCGUUCCCCACAGCCAGGCUCCUCGCCUCCCCGCUCGCGCCGCUCCCCUACGCGCUCUCCCUCUUCGCCGCCGUCCCGCGGCCCACGCUUUUCCACCACACCGCUGUUCUCCGCGCGCUUUCCUCGUGCCCCUCCGUGGCCUCCCUUUCCGCGUCCCUCUCGGUCCUUGCCUCCGCGCGGGCGCGCCUCCCCGAGCUCGACGAGUUCGCGUUCCAGCCGCUGCUCGCGCUCUGCGCGAAAAUGCCCAGUGACGCCGAGGCAGCUUCGGUUGGCAAGCAGGUGCACGCGCUCGUGCUGCGGUACGGGUUCCUGGACGUUGUGAGCCUGCGGAAUGUGCUGUGCCACUUUUACUGCAGCAGUGGGAACAUGGCGGACUCGCGGAGGAUGUUCGAGGAAAUGCCUGAGAAGGACGCUGUGUCGUGGAACACGGUGAUUGGGGGCUAUGUCAGGGUGCGGGAUGUGGGCACAGCUUUGCAGAUGUUCACUGCGAUGAGGUGGUCUGGAGUGGAUGCCAACGUGACAGCGAUGAUCACCUUGAUUGGGUGUGGCUGGCAAGGGGAGUCAGUGCAUGGCUUAUGUGUUAAGACAGGGCUCUGUGACGAUGUGAAGAUUGCAGCAGCAAUGGUGGGGAUGUAUGUGAGGGAGGGCAGCGUUGAGUGUGCAAACAAGGUGUUUCAUGAGACCACUAGACGAGACUUGGUGCUGUGUAAUUGUAUGGUGGAUGGCUAUGCAAAGGCAGGGCAGAUUCGGGAGGCGAUAGACUUGAUUGAUGGAAUGAGACAGCACGGGAUGAGACCUAGUUCAGGGACGCUUGUGGGUGUUCUCUCUGCGUGUGGAACAUCUGGGGCAUUGGCAGCCGGUCGUUCUGUCCAUGAGCUUGCUGAAGAUGCACGGCUUGAGAUUGACAGCACGCUUGGGACAGCGCUCAUGGACAUGUACUUCAAGUGUGGGUGCCCCAGCGAGGCAGCUGCGGUCUUCGAUGCAAUACGAGAUAGGGACGUGAAGGCAUGGACAGCGAUGAUCAUGGGAUUCGGAGUUAAUGGGCAGCCAGGCUCUGCCAUCACCUUGUUCUACAGGAUGGAGGAAGACUGUGUGUUUCCUAAUGGCGUCACAUUCCUAGCCCUGCUAACUGCUUGUAACCAUGGCGGGUUGGUGCAGGAAGCGAAAGAAUUCCUUGAGACAAUGGCACGGCGAUACAGAUUGUCUCCAAGCCCUGAGCACUACAGCUGCGUCAUUGAUCUCCUGGGAAGAGCAGGGCGCCUAUACGAAGCCUAUGAGCUCAUAGAAAGCGUGUCAUCCCAGGGUGAUGCUACUGCAUGGAGAGCGUUGCUUGCCGCCUGCAGAGUGUAUGGCAAUGUGAAGCUGGGGAGGAUGGUGCAGGAACAGUUGGACGCCAUUGGCCACUACCAUCCUUCAGAUGCCAUUCUGCUGUCAAACGCAUACGCAUUGGAAGGCCGGUGGGAUGAGAUAGCUCAGCUGAGGGAUUCAGAAGCACAGAAAAUAUCUGUGGAGAAGGAAACAGGCUGCAGCUCCAUUAUUGUGUCUUGCUGAUGUAUUCAGACUUGCUGAAUUUAAGCAACUAACAACUGAACUCAAGGUGGGAUUCCCAGGCAGACUAGCUUUUGAUCGGGGUUAUCCAAACUUGUACAGAACUAAAUAUAAAUAGAAGAGUGAUUAAAAUGUUUUCUAGAAUCAGGUAAACUUUGAACUCCUGCUUGGUUCAACUUGUAUAUGUAGCCAAUGGCGUCCAACUGUGCCUGCAACCUGCAGAUUGACAACUAGUAGUAAGAAAAGAGACCGAAGGUUGGAAAUAGAUAAAGGGUGAGAUAGAAUGUCCAUAAGGAUUGUGUACCCAAAGCCUGUUUAGGAUAAACAGACAACAAAGUUGUUCAGUAGCUGAUAUGUAUUAGGAAGAGUGGAACUUGGAGUUUAUGAAAAAGCUUGGAGAUGAAGAUGUAGAGGAAUGGGAGAAACUAAUGGCGUCUUUGGAAAUGUGGAGGUGACUAGUGAGGAGAAUAGCUUGGGUUAUAUGGAAGCUUGAAUCCUCUGGCAAGUUCUCCAUAAAAUCUCUCUAUAUAUGUUGAUGACCUUGGAGUGGUGGUUGAUCAAAAAAUGAAAGACAUUUGGGACACUAGGUUACCUCUGAAAAUAAUUUUUUUGUGUGGAUGAUUUGGCACAACAGUGGAACUGGUGAGCAAUUGAAGAGGAGAAAGUGGAAAGGUAGCUAUCUUCCUCUUUAUUCCCACAAAACAAAAUACGAAUAUUUUUGGCAUGUAGGUCGAUUUAGUUCUACCAUUAGUUGAACUUAAACAUCUUAUCGGGUUUAUAAAUAAUUGAACUUGAAAAUGUAAUAAGGAGCAACGAGUUUCUUGCGAGCUAGUACAAGAGAUGAGGAAGACGAAUAACGAUGACAAGGCGUGGUCAAAGUGACUCUCACUGCUUUGCCCUAUUGUUGGAUAGAUUGCAUUGUGUCCAAGUGAGGUCGUUGGUGUCAAUGAUGAGUGUGUACGAACGCAGAAAUUUUAUCCUUAAGGACAUAUGUCCAACACAAACACUUUGCUAAGGGCACAUGCCCCAUAUGCAUCAUUGGUAAGCGCAAAGCACAUCUGGGGCAUGUUUGGUUUUCCAUGACUAAAAUUUAGGCCUUGUUUAGUUCCCAAAAAAUUUCAAGAUUCCCCGUCACAUCGAAUCUUACAGCAUAUACAUGGAGUAUUAAAUUUAGACGAAAACAAAAACUAAUUACACAGUUUACCUGUAAACCGCGAGAUGAAUCUUUUAACGCUAAUUAGUCUAUGAUUGGACAAUAUUUGCCACAAACAAACGAAAGUGCUACAGUUCCCAAAAUGUAAAAUUUUUGCCAACUAAACAAGGCCUUAAUUAUUAAAAUCAAUGACUAAACUUUAGUCACCCCUAUUUCGUUCUAGUGACUAAAAUUUACUUAAGGCCAAGAAAGCGGUUCAACAAAGACCAAACUAUGGUGGGGGACUAGCAAUAAUGAGGGGCAACCCCUGUCCACUUGGCACUUUAGCCCACUUUAGUCAUUCCUGAGGUACUAAUAUGACUAAACUACUUUAGUCCCAUUUUAGUCAAUUUGUUUGGCAGUUUAGUAGCUAAAGUAAGGGGAAAACCAAAUAGGCCCCUUUAGGGACUUGAACUUUAGCUCACGAGGUAGGCGAUGGUAGACCUGGAGUCCACAAUGGUGCCACCUACGACAUCUUUCACCUUAAAAGUAGACAUCAACAUGGCUUCUAGUUUCAGGAGAUAGGCUGACUAGUGCGACGUCGUAGAAAUAUGUCCUCCCUAUUACUAGGUUCCUCAAGACACAUUUUGGAUUGGUCCUUUGGUCUUGUACCUCUGCAAAUCUGUCAUUGCACCGAAGAAGAGGGGCUGCUCUUGUUUUAUGUGGUCUUGUACCUUUGUAGAUCCAUUAUUGCACAGAAGAAGACGGGGCUACUCUUGUGGUCCGCGUAACGCAUAAGACAAUACGAGAAUUUCGGUAUCGCCAACAACGACACCAUGGAUAGAACCACUAGACUCAGCCCCAUGAUGUCGAAGGCACCAAGAAUGUUGCCAUCGGUGAGCGCGCUGCAGCCGAAGCUCACGGAGACCUGCUUUUCCUGGUCGGCAAAAGUGAAUGCUUUAGAGGUGAGGACUUGAUCGCCUCCACGUGACAUAUCUAUACGUGUUGUUGGAGUAACUUUUGGUGUUACAGUUAUCCUCUGUGUAGCCCGCUGCUAAGGGAUGUGGGCAAAAGACAAUGACUUGAUGGGUUAAAAUGAGGCUCUCACCGCACGGGAGAACCGUGAAUGGCGAGGACUAAGUAGGGAUAAAAAGAGGCUCUCGCUUCCUUGCCAUGUUAUUGAACAACUUUCAUUGCGUCCAGGUGAGAUCUUCAGUGUUGACGAUGAGUAAUAAAAAGAAUUCCAUCAAGGGCAUAUGCCCCCAUGUGGAUCACUACAUGAAAAUGUUGCUGAGGCACAUGGCCCCACAUGCAUCGCCAGUAAGGACCAAAACAACAUUACUAGCGAUUGCGAUGGCUUCUCUAAGACUGUUUCCAACACAAGAUACACACCCCGCCCUGUUUUUUUAAAUGCUCAUAAUUAUUCCCUCAUUCAAAAAAGCACGAAAGAUGCUCACACAAAUAGCACAUAAGACAUUUUAUUUUAGAUAGUAAGGAUGAAGUUUCUAAAACAUAACUUUUGAUCAUUUUUUUUAUUUUAUUAUUAUAUCUUCAACUAGUAGCAAAGCUCUAAAAGUAUAGUACUGCCUUUGUCCAGAAAAGAAUACAAUUCAAUACUUUUUUUUUGAAGUGUCUUAAAGUUUAACCAAAUCUACAAGUAAAAAUAUUAAUGUUUUUAUGCCAAAUAAGUAUAUUAGUAUAAAUAUAUAUCUCUAACGUACUUAUUUUAUAUCGUAAAUAUUGAAUGUUUUUUAUAUAUAUAGUUAGUUAAGCUUAAGAUACUUUGACUUAAUAUAGUUAGAAUCGGGUAUGCCAAAUAAGUAUUCCCUCUGUCAAAAAAACAAACAUGCAACUACAGGUUGCGUGCUAACAAAAGUAGCUUACUUUUGACUAAAUUUUUAGUGCAUACUAUUCACAUUUACAACUCCAAAUUAAUUUACCAAGAAAAUAUUACAACUCCAAAUUAAUUUACCAAGAAAAUAUAUUUCGUAAGGAAUCAAUUAAAUUUUUAGUUAAUGCUAUUCACAUUUAUCACUCCAAAUUAAUUUAUCAAGAAAUAUAUUUCGUAAGGUAUUUAGGGGAUGUGUGGGACUGCUCUUCACUCCACGUUUUUAGCCAAACGGUGCGUAGCCAAACAGUUUUAGCUCAACGCAUUCAGUUCGAGGAAAAAUGGCAGAGUUGUGUACUCCAUGAACUCUAGUUUUUUAUAGAGCUGCUCCACUAUGGAGUACGUGGAGGAGAGUUUGUGAAGUAGUACCAAACACACCCUUAUUUGAUAUCAUAAAUAUUGAUAUUCUUUUAUCUAUAACUAAUCAAACUUGAGAAACUAAACCAUGAUACUGUGCUAGAAUUACAUGUUUUUUUGUUCGGAGAGAAUAUAUUAGUACCGUACAAGUACUACAGAUAAACUUCAAAGUGAACGAACAAAGAUAGAUUGCUCCCAUCGAACUGUUGAAGAUUUAAGUUCAGGUAAAGGUAAUACAGGGUGGAAUGAUAUUUACACAUGGAGGCACAUAGCCGCAUAGGUUUUAAGGUUUCUUUAGCACAUCAGCUAUAACGGAAACAUUAAACUUGAAACUACGAAAACUUUUCAAGCUGUGAACCAGAUCUCGUUUUCUAAUUGAGCUGUUAGCGGUUGCCGACCCCGCCUUCCUCUCUGCUACUAGUAGUGCCGCUGCUGCAUUGCUCAUCUUCCAUUCUUGGAAGGACUGGAUAUACAUGUACAGGCAAAGUUGUCACUACUGGUGGGUAUCUUGCCUGGGGCCGCAUCACAUUAUUAGAGAUCCCCUGGUUUUGUGGUGGCUCAGUAUCUUCAGUAGGUGCAGCUUCAGGGAAUAGCUGUAGCUCCCGCCGUGGGGCAGCAUAAGAUUGCUCAACGACUGCUGGCUGUUGCAGAGGAAGUGCCAUUGUUGCAAUGACUUGUGGAUGUGCUGAAUGUUGCAAUGUAAAUACUGUGGUCGCAGGAUGAGGUGCUGUAAUAUUUGAUCUAGAAGUGUCAUGACUCCAGAUAGGGUUGCCUUCUAGCCGCAUCCUCAGCUCAUUUUGAAGUUCUGAGAUUUCACCACGGAUCACAUUGGUUUCAUCCAGUAGUUCAUUUCUCUCCAAGGCAACCUGUUUUGAAAAAUGAAGGAAGCACAUAUUGAAUUACUGACUAGGAUAUAGCAAAUCUUUUCAAGUGGUACUAUAAGACUUAUUUGCUAAUACUUGCAAAAUAUUUUCUUAGGACAAAAAUUUACUACCCACAGAGUUUUCUCGUUCAUAAAUUACUACCUACAGUCUACAGAACAUCAAAUUAAUCAAAUUCAAGGACAAUUUAAUUAAAAUUCCCCAAGUCAUGAUAUGGUCGGUUUUCAGAAAUGGGAGGAGCACACUUACAUAAUGAGAUUCAUUCUUCAGCGUAUUGUUCUCCUUUCGAAGAGAUUCUACUUGUGAAAGUAGAUCUUUAAGUAUCCGUGUAGUGUCACUUAAUAUGCAUGCCUUCCCAUUGUUCUGCCUAUCAGGUUCUGAAAAGAGAUGACAUUGCUUAGGAAAAAUAUAAAUGUAACUUUGAGCAAAAGUAGAGUUGAGGCAAAUAAUCAAUAACCAUGUAUGCAUGGAGCACUUGUUGCAAGAUGUCUGUAUAACAAUGUCAAGUGUGUGUUCAAUAUUAUUCCACAUAACUACAUAAACAUGCUAAACUCUUAAAGUUAGGACAUGGAAAUCCAAAACUAAAUAGAAUCAACAAACAGCAGGCACACAGGUGAUUCGCAAACUACAUUGACCUGGACAAAAUGAUAUGGAAUUAACAGUAUGGCACUCUAUAAAACAAAACACAAUGGAUUCUUCGAGUUAAGAAAGAAACACACUAAUGCUGUCCAGCCAUAGAUCAUGUAAGUAGGUUAAAUUUGUAACAGACCACAUACUAUACCUAGCAUGUUUCCCAGCUCGCCAAAGAGAUCAUUCUGCUUGUCGCGCUUACGCUUCUCCCUCUCAGAUUUAUGUACUUUCUUUGGAGCCUUCUUUUCGCACUUGUUGUUCAGGAUAGGCCUGUCAGGUAUUCAGCAUCAGCAUAAAUCGUGUCAUGCACUUGUAGUAGAAAAGCUUGAUAAUUCACUAGUCAAUUAUUCAGUGACAAACAUCCACAUUUGCUUACACCAGUUUUGCAGAUACAGGGUGCAAAUCAUACAGAGCCAAGUGGUUCAUAUAAAAUUUUUCCCUCCAACAGCUAUAGACCAUUUUGUAUUAAAUAGAGCUUUAGACCGAUUCGUUAGACAUGAUUCUAAACUACGCUAGCGGACAUGGACAAGAAACACUACUGAUCAUAAAAGAGUAGGUGUACAGAUUGCUGUGUAGCUAGUGCUCUUCCCUUACAAAGCCCAAAGACCAACGGCGAUCAAACGCGAAAGAAAAACAACAGAUGUGUCUGCUGUUUUUAGUUUUUCCUUGACUAUUCACGAGUCGCGACCGAAGACUCACCCUUGAACGAGGUUCUCCGCCGGGGCCGCGGUGGCAGUUGUGGCGCUAUGCGCCCUGUCCCUGGGCACCAUGAGUGAUCAAGGGACCUGAUCCGAUACCUCUCCUGCAACAACAAAUCAAGAGCUCCGCGUCAGUUCCCAACACCCUAACCACAAAGCAGCCACGCGUUCGUCAUCGACGCCGAGGGCGAAGAAAAAAAAGAGAGAGAGCAAGGACUAGGGUAGAACGACCCUCACCUUCCCAAAACAACCACGAAUCGAGGCCAGGAUGAGAGAGAAGCUACGCGGUGCGGCCAGAUUUGACCUGGCUCGGUUCAGCUCUGCCCUUGUCUUCGAUUGCUGGGGAGGACCGAGGACGAGGAUGGAUAGGCAGGGAGGAGGAGGAGGAGGAGAGGGAGAAGAAAGGGGACGAGGGCGGGUCCCACGGCGGGGCAGGAAGAAGAACCGGAGCGGAGGGAGGAGCUGCGAUCCCUGUCUCGCUGAUCCCUGGGGCCAGGGCGUGGCGUGGCCCGCGUGACGGAGGAAAGGGUAGUUGCCAGGUCCGGUGGGCUAGACGGCGACACGCGCGGGGCGUGUGGGAGGCACCCACCGCUGCUCCGCCCUGGCGCGUUCUCCGGAUGGGAUGGGAUGACCAUGACAUCGCCACCACGCCACCGCCACCACCAGCGCCCUACAUGUGCCAAUGCCGCACGCCGCACCGCCCUUCUUUCCAGGCCCAAAGAAAUGGUUACAUUAUCACCCAAGUACUCCCUCUAUCUCAGGGCUUAGUUUGGUUCCCCUUGCUAAAUUUUAGCUAUCUAAAAUUAUUUUAGCUAUUCUUGGGUGACUAAUGGAGCUAAACUAUUUUAGCUCUUUUUAGUCAAUAUGUUUGGAACUUUAGCUACUAAAGUGACUAAAGUUUAUCUAGCUAAAAUUUAGUUGGUGGAACCAAACAGGACCUCAGUUUAUAAGUUAUUUUAAAAAUUUUGAAAAUUAAAGUAUCUCAAAUUCGAUCAAUAUUAUAGAAAAAAUAGAAAGGUUUAUGACAUCAAGUAGAUAUUAUGAUGAAAAUAUAACUAAUGAGGAACCUAAUAAUACUUAGAUGGUAUCAUAAAUAUUAUUAUGCUAUCAUAUAAAUUUGGUAAAACUUGAAAUGUUUUGACUAUCUAAGAUUUUUGAAAUGACUUAUAAUUUGGGAUGGAGUGAGUAGUGUUUUUCUGCUAAUAUAUACUCACCGUGCCAGUGCUAGUAAUAUACUUUGUUUUAAACAAUUCGCAGAAUAUACGCACACGCACCGUGCAAGUAACGGCGCAUUUUAGUCAUGGCAACCUCGAGAUAAAUUUCAGCCAUGCAUGCUCACGUUACGUUCAGAAGAAUUCGAGCAGUCAACAAUAGAAACAAACUACCCAUGUAACCCAUCCGUCUCAGGUCACGGCACCGUUUUGGCGUUUUCCGCGGGGUUGGUGAAGUGUAGUGUAGCAAAAGAGCUGAAGGGAAGGGAUCAAGGGAUCGCAUCGGGCGGGGAGGUGGGUACUGGGUAGUGCGGGGCGCGUGGCAGGCACACGCGCCCAGGCGGCGCCGCUGGCCCCGGACGUAGUUUGCCCAGCAUCCACAGGAUUAAAGAUGGCAACGGGGACCCUAUCCCCGUUUCUCCGCGGAGAAUUCUUCCAUUAGAGGAUGGGGAUGGAGAAGAUUUGAUCCCCACGGAGAUAAAACUGGUAGAAUAGUUGUCCCCGUCGGGGAUGGCGGGGACGGGGAUGGUUCCCAGGUCCCCGACCCCGAUCCCCGCAUCCCCGCCCCGUGAAGAGCCAUCGAGGGUGCCAGACCCAUGUAAAGAGGCCCAUUAUCACCGAAAUAUAUAUAUAUGCGCUGCUAACUGCUAACCCUAAAUCCCAGCCCCCACCCGGCCACUCCCCACCCCCGCAGCCGCAGCGCAGUCCAAUACUCCACACGAGAGUCUCCAAUCCAUUCCCCAUCCCCAGCGAAGUGAGUGGCAGCGGCGCCGGCGCGACGGCUCUACGGCUGUGCGAGUCGCGCUCAUCCCCGUUCCCCAGCCCGAGUGCUUGAGCUCGAGACUGCUCGACCGGUCGACCCCCAGCGACGUCGGCGCGACCGCUUGCCUCUACGAACCGGAGCCCGAGGCACAUCCUCCUGCCGGUGCAGAACGGCAGCAGCUCGAAGUGCUGCCCCCUGAAGUCGACGAUGCGGCGGCGGUGCCGCCCAAGAACCUCUCCGGCACGAACUCCUUGGCGCGCUCCUAUGCCGCGGGGUCCUGGCCGAUGGCCCAGGCGUUGACCAGCACGUGCAUGCGCGCCGGGACGUGGAACCCCAGGAUCUCGGUGUCCGCCGCCGGCUCCCGGGGCACCAGCAGCGGCAGCGGCGCGUGCAGCCGGAGCGUCUCCUUCACCACGGCCUUUAGGUAGUCCAGCUGCGCGAUGUGGUCCUCGUUGACGCUGGUGGAGCCGGCCGCUGCCGCGCGGACCUCGUUCUGCGCUCUCUGCAUGGCGCGCGGGUGCGUGACGAGCUCCGCCAUGGCCCAUUCCAUCGCCGUGGUGGUCGUGUCCGUGACUGCCGCGAACAUAUCUUUUAGGAAUUUUGAACCUUGCUACUAGAUUUAUAUGUCUAGAUGAAUAUGUGAACCUUGUAUGCGGGGAUGGGAUCCCCGUCGGGGAUCGGGGAUGGUGCCAGAGUGCUCCCCGUGGUUGUUCACGGGGACGGGGAUGGGAAAAAUUCCCCUCUGCGGGGACGGGGAUGGUGGCUUAUUCUCCGACGGGGAAUUCCCCGUUGCCAUCUUUACACAGGAUUGCUCGUGCCCCGCGGCUCUCGGCCGCGUGCCGCUCUGCCCCUUCGCCCGCGCCUGCGGACUCGACUCGAGGGCUCUGGGGUCUCCGGGCUCCAGACAGAAACGCCCACACGGCCACACGACCACGCACGACACCAAGAGCCAUGUUUUUCCAUGCCCAGCGGCCAGCGCAUCACGAACGAACACGACGAGCUCGCGAUUACGAAAUAUACUCUACUAAAAAGUACCGCAACUUGGACUAAAGGACAAGGCCUGCAUUAGGUUAAGCGCAACGGACGUCAGAAGCACUUUCACUCGUACUUUUCAAUCUGGGUGACUCAGUUCCUUGACGAUUUGAUCACUUGAAGAGAUAUUUUCGGUAUUAUCUCGUAUUUUUUAGAACCAUGAGUCCAGAUGCCCACGCGGACAGUUGACACUGGCUACGCCUAACGCCAGAGCGUCAGGGUGUAGCUGGCACCAAUUGGACUGACGGCACCAAGGACUCAAGGAGACUACAGAUGAAAUGACAAACCAACGAGUCAUUCAAGAAUCAACACAUUUCACAUGUAAUACUAGAAUAUGAACAUGCCAUUUACACCAGGGUGUUGCCCAGGAGCAUUUUUCAUGAAUAAGUUAUGUCACAAAGAUAAAUAAAAACAAGGAACAAAGGCGUCUGAUUUUUCCCCCUUUUUUGCGGUUCAUAAGCAACAUCGAUCAGGAUAAAGCAUAGACCAUUUUCAGUCCCAGCAAUUCCAUUUGUUGCGAAUAGGGCUCAGGUUUAUCUAGUUGGCUGCAGAAGGUACUUCUGCCGGCUUCUUAAAGUUAAGUUGAGCUUGCCUCCUAGGCUUGGCAGGGUCUGGAAACAGAAGGAAACUAAUCUCGUCAGACAUGAGGUUGGAUUGAGAAAAAAAUAAUAAAUAGCCCUUUUUUUAGGGAAAAUAAUAAUUAGUCGGGAUGCAGAACAGGGCAAACCACAAACCUGUUUUGGUUUUCUUGUUCGAGGAGAGAACAGAUGACUUCCAAUCAUUGUAUGCUUCUUUCUCCAUCUUCUUGCGCCUCUUGUGAGUUGGUAACUGACAUCAGAACAAGCAGACAGCAGUCAGGCAGUCACCCGAAAGAAUACAGGUAAAAAGCUAGCUCAAAUGGUUCGCAAAAAAUUUCAAGAUUCUCCGUCACAUCGAAUCUUUGGUCGUAUGCAUGGAGCAUUAAAUAUAGAUAAAAAUAAAAACUAAUUGCACAGUUUACUUGUAAUUUGUGAGAUGAAUCUUUUGAGCCUAGUUACUUCUUGUUUGGACAAUGUUUGUCAAAUAAAAACGAAAGUACUACAGUAGCCAAAAAUGAAAAUUUUUGCGAACUAAACAAGGUAUAGACAUUGCAGAAGUAACCUGAACGGGAAAAAUGUGUGGAUGCAGGCAUGCAGCAAGACCAUGUUUUAGCACAUCACGGCACAGAAGAAAGGAUUAGAUCAUUGGAUGCAGCUACUAUUGCUCACUGUUAGAUAGUAAUAAGAACCAUCAAAAUUGCACUGCUGCAGAAGAAAUGACUUCUUUCAGUACUGACUUUUAUGUGUCUUUUAGUUCAUUCAGACUUCAGCCAUCUAGCAUGUACAUAGACUAUAUUUGAUAACAUUCAAUUCAACCACGGGGAUACUGAUUGAUUACUCAAAAAACUUAGUUGAUUAAGAUAUUGACUGAUUACUCAUAAAAUUUAGUUCAUUAAACCAGGAUUAUAUAUACUCCUGGUAAUAAAGGAUGUGGACAGGGUUUCAUGCAGGUGAAAGCCAUAUACAAGAAACUGAACUACUAGCAACUUUUACGAUGCAGGAAAAUUUCAAACAGGAAUAAAAAUUAAAUAUAAAACCAUUUUUCAUAGGGAAAAGCAUAUCAGAGUAGUUGUGUUCCAUGACAUGCAAUUCAAAAUGUAAAUUAAACUCAGUACUUACUAAGAUAUUUAUUAGAUGCAAUUCAAAAAAAAGUGAGAUCAGUAAUCCAAAAGCAACCAGAAGUAUUCAGGUACAUACAUCUAGUUCAUCUUGAUCGUCGUCUGACGAUUCAUCAGAUCCAGAUGAAUCACUGUCAUCUUCAUGUUUCCUUUUGCUUGGCAAAACAUCCAGCAAUUCUGCAACAAGGACAAAACAUAGGAGUUCAAUGGAUAGUUAGCAACACAAAUUUUUAUUUGUAGAAUGUAUUUUUGCUAUGUAAGUGGAUGAGUAACUCUAUGAUGUAAGGAAUGGAUCAACAAUAAGUAUGUAGGUACCUCUGUUCCCUUUGAUGGACUUUGGAUCCUUCUUCUCCUUGGCUAUCCCAAAAACAUCAAAGCAGAGAUCUGUCAUUGAUGUUGAAACCUGAAAUCAGAACUGAAAGUAAGAAAAUAGCAUAUGUACAGUAAACAAUUCAAGUGAGCACACAGCACAAGUGCACAGUGCAGCUAUGCGCAAACAUACAAAGAGGAUAUGAAUAAACUGUACCGUUGUAAACUCGGAGCUGGAUGUGCCACAUAGAUCUAUCAGCUUUAGUUUGUCAACCUUGAGCUACAAGAAAGAAAAAGGAAAGCUUGAGCACUAAAGAAUCCUAUGCAUUGCAGAAGAACAAAGUACACUGUUACUGAAACAGGCAAGCACCUUGUGCCUCUUCGCACAUAAGUAGAAUGCUGCUGCAGUAAACACUGGUCGACCAAAGUCAGUGCUUGCCCGGCGUGAAGGUGGCAAUGCAGCAAGGAAGCGCUCCUUAUAGCUGAAAUGUUGAAAUCUACCCUCAAUAUAACAUUGAAACAUCAGGUUGCAACUUGCAAACUUGAGCAUGCUUUCAAUGAACCUCAUAGUGACAUAGUCUACAAUUCAUGGUCCCGAGAUACAAUUCAUGGUCUCGAGAUAAAAUUCACAAUAAUAGGCCCUCAAAUAUUGAUGCAAGUGCAAUCGGACUGCCAUGAGAGAAGACUUACAGUGACAAACCCUUCUGAACAAAAGGUAUCAGCCUGACACAACCAAACUGGAUGCCCAAUUCACGCACAUCCAAAGUCGUCCUACAAGACCAUAUUUCACCUAAAUAAUCACAAGGUAGGAAUUUGAUACUCUGAACGGGCGAAACAGAAAGGAAAAAGAAGCAUACUUGACACCAAGACCAUUUUGGAGCGCAUUGAAUGAUCUGAUGUACGCCUUCUCAGACAUCCCGCUCAUACGCACAGCCUCCGCCCGGUCAAAUAUCACCUGUAACCUGCUCAAUCAGCAAACGAAAUGACACGGGUCAAUAUAGGGCCUAGAAGGUUCCCUGCACGGGCAAUUCAUCGAACAGUUGACCAGCAAACCCGGACUCACUUGGACGCUGCGAUCUCCAGGCAGAUGAUGGCUUUGCAGACCUCGCCCUGCAAAAGCACACAGGUCUCAGGUCAGAGGCACGUCCGCGCGGCGGAAGAAGAACGGGAAAUCGGGGAAGAGGGUGGGCAGUCCGGGCCGCUUACGAUGCCGAGGACAGAGGAGUUGAAGUUGACGUCGCAGAGGCGGCGGAGCUCGCCGGCCUUGCGGAUGACGGGGCGGGACCCCGAGAGGCCGAGGCGCGCGGCGAUCGCCGACAUGUCCAUGACCGCCGGCGCGUCAGAGGGGCGCGGAUCGGUGCUGGGAAUGGGGACGGGGAGAAAGAGGUGGAUUGGGGCAUUUUGGCGCGGACAAAUAGUGGCGAUUUGGGCGGUUUCGGGAUCGUUUUGGCGGGCGAGGAAAUGGCGGGAGGAGGGAAUCGUAUUGUUUCGCGCCUAGCAUGUCGUGCGGUCUCUAUUUUUCCUCUGCAGAGGAGGGUGGGGUUGCGUGAUGUGAUGGGCUGAAGUGCUGAACUGCUGAACCAUUGGGCCCUGCUUUGUUCUUAUCAGGGCCUUGUUUAGUUCCAAAAAAUUUUGCAAAAUUUUUCAGAUUUCCAUCACAUCGAAUCUUUAGAUGCAUGCAUGGAGUAUUAAAUAUAGAUGAAAAUAAAAACUAAUUAUACAGUUUAGUCGAAAUUGACGAGACGAAUCUUUUGAGCCUAGUUAGUCUAUAAUUGGACAAUUUUUGUCAAAUACAAACGAAAAUGCAACAUUAUCGAUUUUGCAAUAUUUUUUGGAACUAAACAAGCCCCAGAGCAUUGUAUAGUUCAUACUAGUUUAUUUUUUUCUAGGUGAUUAUUAUUUAUAUAUAGUUCAAAGUUGUCCUAAAAAAAGUUCAAACAUGAAUUGAAUCGGUAAAAAAAAGGUAGAAUGAAAAAUAAAUCUUCUCUACAGCGAUUCUUAUAACACAAUCCCUCCAGUUCACUAAAGCAAGUCGUUUUGAACGCCUACACCGCUACACGGUCUAUAAGAAACGACUUGGACCCCUGUUUAUUUCUAUAAGAUAUUUAUAAAAAAUACGGUCAAUAUAUAUUUUUAUGCAACUAUAUUUUGAGAUGAAUCUACUUACAUCACUUUUAUAUUUCCAAAAUCAAUCCAAAAUACUCCAUCCAUACUUAAAAAUGAAGUCAUUUUGAACAACGACACAGUCUUCAAAAUAUAACUUUGACUUUUUAUUCUUCUAAAAAUAUUUAUCAAAAAAGUGAUCUAUUUAUAUAUUUAUGAAAGUAUUUUUAACACAAAUCUAUUCAUAUAGUUUUUGUAUUUCCAAACUGAAUAACUUAAAAGUUAUUCAUAAUUUAUAUUCUCAAUAUUUUGAUCCAAACCUUGUCUAAAACGAAUUUAUUUUCUAUUAUGGAAGGAAUAAUUUAUUAUAGCUAAAGUUUAAAAUGUUUGACUUAAAAUAACCUCAAAACAAACUUGUUUUAGGAACCAGGAGAGUAUAGAGUUGGGUUUUUGGCUAUUCAUUGAUACGUGGGAACAAAUAUGGUGUGGUUUUAACUUUUCACUAUUACUUAUAUAAGGUCUUGUUUAAUUUGUGGAAAGAAAAGUUUUUGGAUACUGUAACACAUUUGUAGCUAUAGUAAUUAGUCUCCAGUCAUGAACUAAUUAGGGUUAAAAGACUUGUCUCUUAAAACUACCACUUUUUGAUAAAUAAUUUUUGUAAAAAAAGAGAGUCAAAGUUAGGCUUUGAAGACGAUGUUGCUGUCUUAAACGACUUUCUUUGUAAGUACGUAGAGAAUACUUUGUUAUUUGGAUUAUUGGUCACUUCAAUGUUAGACUAAUUUUUAAUGAUUUUAGAAAUUCACACAAUCAUGUCAUGCCUUUCAAGGGACGAGGUGCAUGGUUAGUUUAAAAUUAGGGCAUGCCACACACAUCACGGUUAAGUUUAGUGAAACUGCAUAUAGCUUGUUGAUACUACUACUAUGUAUCUUCAUUUUUUGGAUUGAUGCGUCCACACCACUCUUAGAUUUUAGAAUGAUUUGCCAACAUAUCGAGAAAUUUAAACAAUUGGACUGUGUUUCAAGAGUCGCGUGUUUCAAGUGUGUGCACAUACGAGACGAGAGGUCACGUUGCCUUCGCAGAAAUGCACAUAUCGUCUACGAAAAACGUAUUUCGAACACCUUGCAUGCCUACUAGCACUGGCGAGAGUCUGGCAGUGCCCCGGUGGCAAACCAACCGAGCUCACCGUAACUAGAGCCAACGGCUGAACGGCGUGCACCGGUUUGACGGGGACCCCCGAGCACCGUCCGGCCACGGAAAGAGAUCCGCCUUAAGAUUUGACAGGAAAGAUGCGCCGUACCAAAGGAUUGGCGUCGGACGUGCGUGUUUACCCUGGCGCGCACGCACGCACGCGCCAUUUACCGACUCCUGCGACGCCACGACACGCAUCGAUGGCCCGCGGCCGGCCGGCUGCCUGGGCCACGAGCCCACGAGUAACAGCUGAGCCAGCCAGGCACCUAGUACGGUACGGCGCACCGUCGUUGCUGCCUGCCGCCGCUGCGCGAAUUCAACCAACCAUUUGCACCUGGAAGCCCCGUUGGGCGGGGUAUCUCAUCACGGACGCACGACGAGGAGCGGACCGGAUGGCACCGCAGGAGCCGUCGUGGAGCCCGCGCGCCGCCCGCCAGAUGUAGCAACCCCACGCGUGCCUUCCGCGCGCGGCAGGGCUGGGGUGGCGGCGGCUGCGGUGGCAGGCAAGCACGCCGCAGCUGCCCCCAGCGAGUUCGCCGCGGCAGCUCGUGCGAUCGCCUUCGCCGAUGGGAACGCGUGCCGACAACCAGUUCGGCUCGUCGCGUUCGUUCGGUGGCGCGCCAGGAGGGCCGCCGAUCAGCGUGACCGCGUCGAUCGACCGAGGAAACGCCUCGUCCACGGCAUUUGCCUCUUCGGGAGGGAACGGACCGCCCCGACACUCUGCUGGUCCCUCCCUGGCAGGCUAGCUGGCUUGGUUCGGCCCUCCGGCCGGCCGUCGCGUCGCGUCGCGCGCGUGCCGGGUCGCCAUCGCCUCGGACUAAUAUAAAUAUAUAAUGCCAUUUGACCUGGCGCGUACGUCGACACGUACUGCCGUCGGGCCUCAUUGGUCCGACGCUCGGGCGAGUGCAUGAUUGCUCUUGCUCCGUUGCUGAACAGCAGCAGUACAGGAGCGCUGCAUAGGCAUGGAGGAUCGACUGCUAAUCCCCGGGGGCUGUUGGCGUGGUGCUACGGCAAAGCCAUGCAUCGCGCUGCUCCUGCCUGGUACGCUCGCUGCCUGCACUGACACACAGCAGAGAAGCAACGUGCGCUGCGGUCUAGUACCACACGUUCGGGACGGAAGCUGGACAGCAAGUUGGUCGGUCGGUAUGCGAUGUACCACCGCCGGUACUCGGAAGACAUUACGCGCAGUGCGUGCGUGCUCCCGGUGCUGCACUGCAUGCAUGCAUGCAUGCAUAUCCUCGCGCGCUGGGGGUCUCGGCGAGCAGUUAAUGGAGAAACAUGCCGUGUCGGCCAGCCUGGGCAAGCCAAGCAAAAGCUCGCCGAACUGCCAUGUCCCGCGGCCCGCCCAUGGGAGCCAGGGAGGUCAGGAUACACGCGCGUGGGCCUCAGCCUCACGACAACCAUCGGCUUUUGCUGCCUGGUUUUCUUUUUUACUCUACUUUUUUUUUCCCUUUUCUUUUGUUCGCUCUCUACGUACACGUCGUAGUAUCUUUUUCCACGUUGGCCCACGGGUGUUGUGACGCGCAAUCGGGUUCCGUUUCCGUUGGCUGCCUCACCGGCAUUUUGUGCCAUCACGGGCAGUUAUGUUAAACCCGUGUGAUCACAGACGCAAAAUGCAGUUGGGGUUGUCAGUAGCACGUAACCUGUGACAUGGUAACAUGGAUGGAUGGAUGGAUGCAUGCUCUCAGUCGUCUCUCUGUCCUGUCUGUAAAGCGUGUGUGACAAUAGCAGACGUCCAGAGUCGACCAAGGUGUUAAGCCACUGUUUAGGUCAGCUAAAGCAUUGAUGAUCUGCAAUCGAUCACAAAUGCAAGCACGAUUACAGCGCUGGGACAAGAUGGGAAGCUAAACUGCAGCAUAUGGUGUGCUCCGUUCUCUAAACUGGCAUGAGCUGUAACACGACGCAUUUUUCUUCUCCCUGAUACAAUGAUGACAUGCACGUCUUGUCCUCCCUGUUGGAGGAAAUAUAAACAGACAGGAUCGGAUCGGGCGAAUAUGACCAUGUCACCACGGAGCGAAGGAUCGUGUUCAUUACACGGAGUAAUUAGCAUCUCAGGUACCGUAUUAGGUGGGUUCCAAUUUGUCUAUGCCCGUUGAUAUGGUUAUGAUCAGUUGCACUAUUUGACGAGCCUCGAACAGCAUGGGGCCUCAAGGGAAAUUGCAGCGUCGUCCGCCCUCCACUAGAAUCUGAAGAUGGAUUGGCUAGAAACUGAAGAUGGAUUAGUUGUCAUGAACGCGCAGGGCACGGUGCAUUAUAUUUGCCGCAAGCGUCACUGUCAACAGAGGAAAAACAAUGCUGUUACUAGUAUGUAAUGUACUAGCGUACACAUCUCCAGGCGCUGAAACCACUCUCAUUUUGUGUUUAUUUUGCCGGUGGUACGAGAAAAAAAAUCUCACGUCGAAAGUGUCCUUGUAGUCUAGAUUCAAAGGCCGGCCGCACUGGGGGCCAUCUGGCUUGAAUAUGUGCUCCAUCUUCUCACAAAUCCUCAUCAGAGCAUUCAAUUCAAGGCCUCUGAUGCAAAAGCUUCUUGCCUGGGCGCUCAUGCAGGUUUCAGCAAGAAAAGAGAGCCUGUGUUUCUGUGUGCGAUGCAAAGAGCUGUGAAUGCAUGGCAUGGCAUGCAUUGCAACAUGGCCAUUUGGCAAGGGUGUGCAUGCAGUGCAGGGUGCCCACGGAUAUGGAUGCCAUGCCACUUUAGUCCCUUUCACCAUUUUUACAGCUCGGGAAUGUGACGAAAAAGAAAUUAUGCGUGCACUAGUGCAUGAUUGAGUGAGUGGUCGUUGGGUGCAUAUGGAUGGGCUGGCGACGAGGCUGCGUGCCGGUGUCGUCGUCGUCGCUGGGACUCGGAGUCAAGCCCAUCACACAUGUCGUGUAUUUAAGGACUGCCAAAGUUUCUGAUUGUUUAAAAAGAAACAAAUGUAAAAUUUAAAGAUGUUAUACCUAUACAGACAUUGAUGGCAUUGACUUAGUAGCACUUGUACAGCUCAGUUUUUAGAGCGAGAAGAAACUGUGUACCAGCUAGGUAGUACUGCUUCGGAUAGUUAGUAUGAUUAUUGGGUCGCGCAGUUAUAGUAACAGUCAACAGGUACUGUUAUCUAAAAUGUUUUAAAGAUGCCUGCAUGUGCUCUUUUUUUUAGUAUCUGCGAAAUGACGAGAUAUUAGUGGUUUUUGAGCCAACAUAUGGUGUGCUAAAUGUGCUACGGCGCAACUAACACGAGAUUUUUGUUCUAGUUCUGUUGUUCCCACAAUAAACCUGACUUUCAAAAAAAAGACUUGAGUUUCGGUUGUAGUAAUCCAUAUAGUUAAGUACUUAAGUUUAAAGAGUUACGUCGUCACUGCUUAAAAUUCCUAAUUCCGUCGCGUCCAUAUAGUGAAGUUUAAAGUUUACUUUGCAUAUGAAAAAUGGCUAGCUAGGAAUGUUCCAAAACGAUACGGCGUCCGAAACGGCAAUUCCAUACCGAACGGAGUACAUUAUAUAUUCUAAAGACCAGACAUGACAUUUUUUUUUACAUGUUCAUUCUUCAUAGCGCAUAAGCUCUUAGCUACAAGCCUACCAGAGGCUACCCAUACCUAAAAUGAUCUCGAGAGCUUUGUACAUUUGAUUUAAGCACAAUAUAUGUUUCUCCAACAUUGCUGUAAAUGUAAAACUACGAAGGAGCGACGAGUGAUUAAAGUACACUAGAUAUUUCCCUAGUAUUGCAUAGAGUAUGUAAAACUAUAUGCGCAGGACCUCCUCGGGGAAAAAAAUGCUGAAGGUUCUCCUAACUGUGUUGUGUAAAUUGUUCUUUCGGUAUUUUUUUAAUGAAAUACGCGUGAAAUCAUACUCUUGAUUUUUUUUUGUUUGAACGCUAUAUAUAUAAGCAUCUUUUCAGGAGUUGUCGACUCUGGCAAAGAAGACAAAAUUCAAUACGAUGAAAUGAAAUUGAUACAUGCAAAACUCAAGAGACAUGAAAACUCAAAAAUAUCUGCUAUAUUAGUGACAGCUAUAUAUACGUUUCGUUGAAUUUUGGCUCAUGUUGAUGCUGAAAGGGUAUGAGAGGAAAAUACGGUUUCUUAGCUGAAGAGUAGUUGUUGUAGAACAAGAAGACAAUUUAUGAUAAGUAUUUGACAUAGGAUUACUCAUUACUGGUUAUUUUCCCACACAACAUGCAACUUGCACAAGGGGAUCUACGUACUCAAGUUUUACUUCUUAGACAAAAGGCUAAAAAAUAGAAGAAAGUCCCAAGAACAUACUCCGUCAUAGCAGCAUGGAGUGGUUCUGUAUAUGUUGUUUGGAAUCUAAAUGAAAACUACGCAGAUCCUACGUAAACGACUUGAUCAAGUGACCGAUUUACAACAGCUAGCUAGCCGACUAUUGAUUAGUCACUGACGUACUGCAGGAUCUAUGUAGUUUUCUUUAGGAGACAGCGCGCGCUGUAAUCACACCACACUCCUUGCUUGACGGGGGAUUAGCUUGAUCUGGAUCACUUGGACACACUAGCUAGAAGCCUAGAACGGGUAAUCCAUGGGGGCCGCAUCGAGCACGCCGGCGCUCUGGACAUGGUGGAAGUGGCUGUCGUCGUCGAACAGCCACGACUCGAUCGCCGACAGCGGCAUCUGCUGGGCCGGCGGCACGGUCGGCUUCGUCUCGAACUCGAAAACCGGCCCGCCAGCUGCCGCCAGCGUGACGGCGGCGCCGCCACCGUACGACACCUCCGACGCGUCCGAGGAUCCGGUGGACGCGCUCUCGGCGCCGCCGGGCGUGCCCGGACUGCCGCCGCGGGCGGCCUUCCGGCCAGCCCAGCCGUCCAGCAUCCGCGAGAUGUUCUCCGUGGUCAGUACGUACGGCCCCGCGGCGGUGGCGGCAGCGGCAGGCGCCGACGACGGGGAGCACUGCGACGCGCCCGACGAGCUCGACGCCGGGCUGUCGCCCCCGCCCACGCCCAGGCCAGCGCCCGGCGCGUCGACGGCGGUGGCGUCGCGCUGCAGCUGUGGCGGCUUGAGGUCGUCGAGCGGGGUGAGGGCCUCGCGAAGCGCGCGGCGCGCCAGGUUGAUGUCCGUCUGCAGCCUCCUCUCCCACUGGCCCUUGGACGACGACGGCGGCCUGUGCGCCGGCGGCUUGGCCGCCCCGUCGCCGCCGCCGCUCUGCAGCUUGCGCUUGAGGUGCGUGUUCCAGUAGUUCUUGAUGUCGUUGUCCGUCCGCUCCGGCAGGUACGACGCGAUGGCCGCCCACCUACACCACACAACACCAUGGGUUGCCGUCAAUAACACCAUCCAUCCAUGUGCCACACUCGUCGUCAGCUGUAACACCAUGUGCGGAUGAAUAAAUCUCCGUCCGUACCUGUUGCCAAGGAGGGCCUGGAGGUGGAUGAUGAGCUUCUCCUCCUGCUCCGUGAAGUUGCCGCGCUUGAUGCCCGGCCGGAGGUAGUUGGUCCACCGCAGCCGGCAGCUCUUGCUGCACCGCAUCAGCCCUGCAUGCGCGCAAGAAUCGAUCCGGCCGCCACCGAUCAGCUCUCGAUCUCUAGCUAGCUCUAAUAAUCUUUACUAAUAAUGGAAUGAAGUGUGUGUGAUGGAUCAGAUCAUCGAUCUAGCACAACAUACCAGUUUUGGCCGGGACGGCGCGCCAGUUGCCGGGGCCGUGCUCCUGGAUGUAGGAGACGAGGACGAGGUCCUCCUCCGGCGUCCAGGGGCCCUUCUUGACGCCCUCCUUGUCGCAGCACGGCGGCCUCACCAUGGUGGUGUCGAUCAAGGACCUCUUUCGAUCGAUCUCCGUGAGCAAAAACAACUGGCCCUUUUUUCACCUUCCCCUUAGCUUGCGGCAAGGUUAUUGCUAGCUUGCUCGUGUGUGAUUGAUGUUAGUGAGCUGCGGGGUGGUGGUGGUGGUGGUGGUAGGCAACAACAACACACAAAAAGGCUACAGCUGCUAGCCACCGGCGCCGUACAAGAACAAGAGCGGGACCGUCAGAUCAGCAGAGCUCUCUCUCUCUAUCUCUGAUGAUCCGUGUCUUGUUGCUAGCAACCGAGCUAGAAGAAGCCAGCGCGCGCGUGUUGGUAGAUGGGUACUCGGCGGUGUGGUGGUGGUGGUGUGGUGGCGGCUUGAGGACAAGGGUCCAAGGGGGUGAGGCGUAGGCGUGUAUAUAUAACGGUGGCCGUCGCGGCCGGCCAAAGCCCAAAGCAAAGCACAGCGCUGACCUUUUGUGGGGCUGUGGGCUAUGGCUAACCAAUGCAACCGGGCCGGCCAGGGCCUUGUUUAGUUCCGAAAAAAUUUGGGAAAUGGACACUGUAGCAUUUUCGUUUGUAUUUGACAAAUAUUGUCCAAUCAUGGACUAACUAGACUCAAAAGAUUCGUCUCGUCAAUUUCGACCAAACUGUGCAAUUAGUUUUUAUUUUCGUCUAUAUUUAAUACUCCAUGCAUGCGUCUAAAGAUUCGAUGUGACGGGGAAUGUGAAAAAUUUUGCAAAAUUUUCUGGGAAGUAUACAAGGCCCAGGAUGCCGAGACAGCUAGGGUAUUAGCAAAGGUCACUUGAAGAGUCAAAUGUAGAGAGAGAAAAAUGAGAGUGGAGUAGAGAGAAAAUUAAACGAGAUUUGAGUAGGAGUAGCGUGCAUUUACUCCUAGCUCGUGGCAAAGUCAGCCUGGUGGUGGGGCGGUACAGCCACAGUGAAGUGAGCAGUGGCCGGCCGGGGCCUUGCCUGGCUGUUGCUGCCGCUAGCUAUUGCCCGCCCGGCUUGAUGGCCUCGCCUUUGCCCUGGGCGUCGCGAGAGCCGCGUUGCAUUAAACGCGCCGGGUGCGUGGCCGCAUAUGGCAUGUUGCAACGCACGCACUUGGUUUCCAUCCCGUUGGCCGUAUGCGAUCCCCGUUCAGGACCCGGCGGCCGCGGCUGCUGCUCGCUCUCUCCUCCGGCCGCCUCUCUCCACGACGUCUCCCCGGGCCCGUUGGAUUCAAUGCGAGCUCCACCGGCAGCAGCAAUCUCAUGUGCGUGCCCCCUUCAAUUUCCACACACCACUGGUGAUCGCUGGGGCCGCCGGACCUCCUGCGCUGCGCUGCGUGUGGGUACUCGCGGACGCGGUGGUAUCCAGACGAGAUCGAGACGACCCAGUCAAGGAAUCGCUAUUACUACCCCUCAGACUACUUUGUUGUCGAUCAGUUGAUGCAGUGACGUUUUGGUCAUCCAGGCUCACGAGCCACGACGACGACCCAGGUGCAGAUGCAUGUGGCUAGGCUAGGCAACCGUGUUUUGUUUUGUUUUGUUUUGUCGCGCCUCCGCAAAUGCCUCUGUGCUCGUAUCAUCGUACUCCUAUGUACGCACUAUACACAGUAGGUGCGUGGCGUGACCGUUUCGAUUCUUGAGGAUCGCUACGUAUCAGGGCUAAGCGCGUGUUUGGUUGGUAGAGACUGUAAUCGAACACUUUGAUGAAGUGCUUGCUGUUCUGGGACUACGAAUGGCGAAGCCAGUGGACUGGCUAUGGAGAAUUGGAGAUGUUCGUCUCCUUCUAUGGCUCCGUUUGUUUAGUCGAAAAGAUACGAUUGAAAAUAUUUUUCGUUAAUUUGUUAUAAAAUAAAAAUACUAUUGAUUGACUUUUAGAUUCAGCAUAUAGGUUUAAGACCUCCUUGCCUUUGCCUUUGCCUCUUUUCUUCACCCACUCUCCCUUCUUCUCCCCUCUCAUGUAGUACUGGGUGAUAUGUUUAGCCAACGGCACUGAAAAGUGUAAGGCCUUCUUUAGUUCCCAACAAAUUUUGCAAAAUUUUUCAGAUUUUCCGUCACACAGAAUCUUUAAACGUAUGCAUGGAGUAUUAAAUAUAGACGAAAAUAAAAACUAAUUGCACAGUUUGGUCGAAAUUAACGAGACGAAUCUUUUGACCCUAGUUAGUUUAUAAUUGGACAGUAUUUAUCAAAUACAAACGAAAGUGUCACUAUUUAUAUUUUACAAAAAAUUUUGAAAGUAAACAAGGCCUAAGUGGAUGUAUGAGCAACUAUAUUUGUCGCACCUCCGCAAAAGACCCGUAGAUGUACAGCGUCACUUUACAUGGACUCUUGUUUUGGCUUGGUAGGUACACUUAUACACGAGUCUUGGCACAAAUGCAAGUUCUUUUACUUGACUUGGUAUGUAUCACACUUCACGACAAAUUUUCAUUUUGCGAACAAUUUCUCUGCUAUAUAUCCUCUUAAUGACAAACAUUCGUGAAAAAAAACACCAUUUUUCUUGUUAAGUAUAGUAGAGUCUCGUUUGGAUCCACUGACUAAAAAUAGUUGUGGUACUAGUUAGACUAGACUACUAGUUUGUCUACUCAUCUCUAGAAUUGUAAAGUGCAUUUUAACCUUGUUUAGUUCCCAAAAAUUUUGCAAAAUAUGAAUAGUAACGUUUUCGUUUGUAUUUGACAAAUAUUGUCUAAUUAUAGACUAACUAGGCUCAAAAGAUUCGUCUCGUCAAUUUCGACCAAACUGUGCAAUUAGUUUUUAUUUUUAUCUAUAUUUAAUACUUUAUGCAUACGUCUAAAUAUUCGAUGUGACGGGGAAUCUGAAAAAUUUUGCAAAAAUUUUGGGGAACUAAACAAGGCCCAAGAAAAAGUCAUACAAGGUAGAUUUUGACACUUACCUGUCCUAACAAAGGAUGCAAUUAUACAAUAAUAAUACUAAGCCAAACUAUAUGAAGUUUGAUCGAAUCUUAGAGAUAAAAGUAAUAGUCUGUCUAACAAUAUGCCGCCGGUCGCUAAAAAAGACAACACCAUCCGGAAAACGAUUUAAAUAGAAAUAUGUUAAUGCAAUUUUUUUUUGAUGUUAAUGCAAGUUUUGUAUGCUAAACUUGUAAAGAAAAUGUAAAUAUGAUUUUAUUUACAAUUAAAACAAGUCUUACAUUUCUAGAAACUAUUAGUUAGAUGGGGUGCAGACAUGUUCGUGUUUAAAAUCUUGAAAGCUAAUCUCUUAAGUCAAAACAAUCCACAAAUCACGAAGCCAUCGUCUCUACCACCGGAGUAGUGAGGAAUCCAACCCGAGAUGGUAGUUGAACCUACGGGUGCCAAAUCGUACGAGCAGGUCUCAUCGGAUCGGGUACCAACAUUAAUUGAUGAUGAUUGGGUGUUUGCUAAAUUUUGCAUCGGCAGGUGCCUACCAACGUCCAAAAUAUGAUGGGUAUAACCAAAUACUCCAAUUUUCUAAUAACGUUUUGGUACGUUGGUCUUAAAGUUCUAAUAGUAUUUCAAGAACUUGUAUAAUUAUACGCACAGUGAUAAAAAAAUUUCAUGUUUGUUGUCAAAUUUCAUAUAUGUAUUAAUGCAGUCAUGAUACGAUAAAUUUCAUCAGCAGAGUGAUAAAAACUGCACUGGUGUUUGCUCCAGCUGACCCAUUCUCGUCACUAGUCCAAGAAUGGCAUUUAUUCCUACCACCUGCAGAGCCAAAACCAGGGCCUUGUUUAGUUUCGAGAAGUGAAAAGUUUUCGGUAUUGUAGCACUUUCGUUUGUUUGUGACAAAUAUUAUCUAAUCAUAGACUAACUAGGAUCAAAAGAUUUGUCUCGUGAUUUACAGCUAAACUGUAUAAUUAGUUUUUGUUUUCGUCUAUAUUUAAUGUUUAAUGCAUGUGCCACAAGAUUCGAUGUGAUGAAGAAUCUUGAAAACUUUUUGAUUUUCAGGGUGGCCCAGGUCGCCGGUUUUUGACCGCCGUCUCUGCCACAACACUUGACUCCACGACCGAGGUCACCGGCCAUAGCACACUGAGACAUAUCCAAUCUUGUAACAAAUACAUUGAGCAUUAAAUAUAAAAAAUAACUAAUUAUAUAUUUUAUCUGUAAUUUAUAAGAUAAAAUUUUUAAAUCUAAUUAUUCGAUAAUUAUAUAAUAAUUAUCGAAUAUAAAGGAAAGUGAUACCAUAUCUAAUCAAAAAAAUAUAUUUGGACCUACACAACGCCUGACAUGGGUAAGUUUGACGGGCGGGCGCGGUGCUUCGUCACGUUACGUUCCCCUCGACGAACGCCAUAAAAAGUGGGCUUUCCGGUGCAGCCUACCGACGAUCCCUGUGAGAGUAGGCAGUACCACAGCCUAGCACUGUGGAGGGCACAUGAAUAAAGCGGCAUGCAGUAGGGCAAUGAAUGCGUCGUGUUACCUUGGUACUUUACGCGCCAUAUAGAUAGGCCAAUACGUACACUACUUGCAAAUAUUGUAUAUAUAUAUAUAUAUAUAUAUAUAUAUACACGCAGUUACUAUUUAAUGUGGUGCACCAAACCGCAGGCCAGCGCCAGUGCGGUGCGGAGGAGCAGGAGACCGACCGACCGAUGGAUCCACGAAACAGCAGGAGUGUUGUACUGUGUGCAUAGCACCGGCACAUGCUCGAGCCCGGCUGCGGGCUGGCCGUGGGUGCUCCUCCUCUAGAAGGGGAAGGAGAAGGAGAAGAGGUCAAUGCUCAGGAGUAAAGGCCAUGCGACGCCAAGUCAACAUGUAGUCCACUGGACAGGAGGAGUAGCUUGGAUAGCUAUAGACCGCCUAGGAAUAGCUUGCCUCUUGGAUUGUGUCUCGGAUUUUCUUUUUUAUUGUGCCUAGAAGUAUGUCUCGAAUUAAAUACCGAUAGGAUCACAAAAGCAGAGAAGGGUAGGACGGUCGCAAAUACGUACGUACUCGUAGUACAGUACUACUACCAUUGCCAUACAUAAAAUAGAAACAUAAGUUCGACUUUUGAGUGGAUUUCUUUUGUCAUGAUUUUUCCUAUGAAAUCAAACACUCAACUGUUUUCUUUUUGUUUUUUCGGGAAGGAAAGAAUCCCUACGAACAGAGGACACUGCAGUAGCUCAGUCCUUACUCCUUAGGAAUGGAAAUCCUAUAUUUUUCUUCAACUUUUUAUUACAAUCCAAAGGACACUGCAGCAGCUUAGUCUUUUUUACACAGUUUAACUGUAAUUUAUGAGACAAAUUUUUAAACCUAGUAAGUUUAUAAUUGAAUAGUAAUUAUUAAAUAGAAAAAUAUAACAGUGUGAAAAUACAAAAACUUUUCAAAGUCUAAACGAGACCCACGUAACCAAACAAGGAGUAGAAGAAGACAUGGUCAGCUCCUCAGCCGGCCAGAGAAUUAAUGUGGUGUGGUGUACCAGUACGACCAUGCGGCGAUUCAUCAGCUGCCAUGGAUGCUACCGGCAGAGCACGAGAUGACUAUCCAAGUACGCCCCUGCACAUUCCGCGAAACUGCCACCAAAUUAAAUGAGUACUACAACGGCACGAUUUUUUUUUUGUACUAGGCACGGUUGUUUCUCAGGCAUGGUCUUUUGAUAUUUUCAAGCAGAAUAUAGUGAUGGCAUGCUACGAAAGAAAGGUAUCAAAACUGUGGCCUCGCUCUAUACCCUGCGAAGAUCAUCAGAGCUCUAGUGCUUCACUUUGGAAGGAGGUGGACAUCCCAAAAUCCCAAUUGCAAUUGGAGCGUCAAUGUGUGUAAUAACGUCUGAUAAUGCACCAUCUACUAUACUCCGACGAGUAUAUCUAGCAGCCUCCAUCGAUAUCGUAUCAUUCAUUCCAUAUUUAAGCCAGUGUUUGCCGCGGUACGGCAUCGCAUCGUCUAUAUAUACACAGUAUCUAUCUCUGUUUAAGCUAGUAGGAGCACAUGGUACUGGAGUCGCCGCGCCGGACACCAAAUUGAAGGUGGUUUCUGUCUCAGCUUCAAUGUGCGAUCGAUGGCUGCCUCUCCUUCCUAGAGAGAGUGCUCCUGGAGUAUAGGAAAACGUUUUCUUCUGUAGCGCCAGCGAUUGAGCGUGACCGGCCUGCCUGUACUCUCGGCGCGUACACUGUACGAGGUGAAAUCAUGACUCCUAGCGUCAUCGCCGCCAUAAUGCACAGUAUUAAGUCGAUCGGUUAGGGCAACAGCUAGCGUGCCCCCUUCGCGGGGCUGUUCGGCUGACGGUUGGUGCGACCGUUGCUGAUGCUAAUGUUAAUAUUGAUUUGCUGCGAAAUGAAAUAUUGUUUCGUAGUUAAAAGGUCAUAGUUAAAAAUACUGCUUACUGAUUUUUUUUUUUUGAGAAAAAACACUACUAGAUUACUAGAAGUUUUAAUAAAUAAGCUUAAGCGGAUAGAGUCAGUGUUGAUUCUAGCUGGCUCAAUGUUGAUUCUAACGAACGUAAUGCAUCUGCUGCCUAUGGUGCUACUCGAUCGAUCGACGCAGCCUGCAUAUCACAGUACCGGGGGUGUGUUUAGAUCCAUAUUUUUUGGAUUUCGAUAUUAUAGCACUUUUCGUUUGUAUUUGGUAAAUAGUAUCUAAUUAUAGACUAAAUAUGAUCAAAAGAUUUGUCUUGUAAUUUAAAGACAAAGUAUGCAAAUAAUUAUUUUUUAUCUAUAUUUAAUUCUUCAUGCAUAUGUCAUAAGGUUCGAUGUGAUAGGAAAUCUGGUAACUUUUAGAAUAUUGAAGGGAUCUAAAUAAACCCUAAGUCAAAUUUUAUUUGUAACUAAUAGCAACACGUGUUGUCUUUUGCACAUAUGGAUAGACGACUAGUGAGCAGACAUACAAACGAAAAUACUACAAUAGCCCAAAUUAAAGUUUUUCGCCAACUAAACAAGGCCUUACCUAACUAGGUUAGCGUUACUACUACUAGUAGCUAAGACCUUGUUUAGUUGGUGAAAUUUUUUGAUGUUGGCUACUAUAGUAUUUUAGUUUGUAUUUGACAAUUAUUGUCUAAUCAUAGACUAACUAGGCUUAAAAGAUUAAUCUCUCAAAUUAUAGACAAACUGUACAAUUAGUUAUUUUUUAUUUAUAUUUAAUGCUUUAUGCAUAUAUCCAAAGAUUCGAUGUGACGGGAAAUCUUGAAAAUUUUUAAGAUUUUAGGGUGAACUAAGGCCUUAUCUAGUUCACUUCAAAAUACAGAAAAUUUUCAAGAUUUCCUGUCACAUCGAAUCUUGCGGCACAUGUAUGGAACAUUAAAUAUAGAUUAAAAAAUAACUAAUUGCAUAUUUUGUCCGUAAUUUGCGAGACGAAUCUUUUGAACCUAGUUAAUCCAUAAUUAAAUAAUAUUUAUCAAAUACAAAUGAAAGUACUAUAGUGUCAAAAUCCAAAAACUUUUUAAAUCUAAACAAGACAUAAGCCUGUUUGGUUGGUUGAUCGAUCGAAAUGACCUGGUUAAUUAAUUCGUGCAACGGGGCAGUCAUGAUGUAGGAGUAAUUACUGGUAGAAAUUUUUACUCCAAACAACGUACUCCUAUACUUAUAAAAGAAGUCAUUUUGAACAAAAUUUGAGUUUAAAAAUAUAAAUCAUGAAAACUUUUAGUUUGUUAAGUUUAGAAAUGUAAAAACCAUAUAAAUAGAGUUGUCUUGAAAAAUAUUUUUUUUUAUAAAAUAUACAUAUACACCUUUAAUAAAUAUUUUUAUAAAAAUAAGAAGUCGAAAUAAAACUUUAGAUAACGUGCCAUUAUCAAGGACUUGCUCUUUGAGUAGGAAGAAAGUACUACAAAGUAACUGCGAUCCACAUAGGCCAUGAUUAGUUCUGAAAAGUUUUUUAAUUUGGUUACUAUAUCACUUUCGUUUGUAUUUUUUAAUUAGUGCUCAAUUAUGGAAUAAUUAGAUUUAAAAGAUUUGUCUCACGAUUUACAUGUAAAAUGUAUAAUUAGUUAUUUUUUAUGUAUAUUUAAUGCUCUAUGUAUAUGUCGUAAGAUCUGAUGUAGUGAGAAAUUUUGAAAAGUUUUUAGAUUUCGGCUACUGAGAUAACUAUAAAAGGUGUAGCCGAAAACAUGGAAAUAAUGGCGGGUUCACACGACCCCAGUCCAGAUGCAGAUAGACGACGACCACGCAACGCAAGCAGGUACUGCGCCGACGACUGGAGUCAAUCCGAAAUCAACCGCCCUGGUUCUUGGUACUGCAGCGCUAGGGACAGGCCAGUUGCGCGCGUCAAGUGAUCGUGAGAGCCAGGCGUAAUUAGUUCAUCUGUUAACACGUGAGUGUCUUUGUCAUAUCGAGGAGCAACCGAUCGAGACGCAGCAACAGCAUAUUAUAGGAGGCUGCUCAUGGAUUCGGCUAGCUUUAGGCCCUGUUUAGUUUAAAAAAUUUUACAAAAUUGUUUUAGAUUUAUUGUAAUAUCAAAUCUUACAGUAAAUACAUAGAGUAUUAACUAUAGAUAAAACAAAUAACUAAUUACAUAGUUUAUCUAUAAUUUGCGAGACGAAUAUUUUAAGCUAUGAUUUGAUAAUAUUUGUCAAAUACAAACAAAAUACUACACUAUUUAUUUUUUGAAAAAUUUGGAACUAAACAAAGCCUUAGCUAAACUCCGGGAAUUGAUCGAUCGAGCUCUAUCCGCCGGCCGGACCGAUGAUGGUUGGAGAUCGGAGACACGUCGUCGAUGACGUCCAUGCGACCAUGCCACACCUCCGUCAACGUACAUAUAUACAUUGGCGUCCACUGGUUCUCUGAUGGAAGGGCAGGAUGUAACUCUGCCUGCAUGCUCCUGUGCUACGGGUGAUGCAUGGAUCAGCAGGGUCUCCUUGGUGCAUAGCAGGAUCAGCUUGAAGAGCGCGAUCGGAGUGGCAAGCCGAUGGCCCAUGGCUGGAAACCACGCACGAGCUUGCCCAUGCGUGACGCUCGCAGUGAUGCUGCUGGUACCGCUGACCGCUGUGCAGGCACAGCACAGGCACAGGCACAGGCACAGCCGCCUGCAUGCAUGUACGAAUACGAUAACGAUGACCAGCAGCCGUACGGCAUGCAGCUGACAGAGCUGCGCGCCUGCGGCCUGCGCUGAUGAUGCAUGCAUGUCCUUCGCAGCGACGUCACUCGUGACCAUGCGUCCGCUGCUGGUUCCUGGCUGCUCCUCCCUGCUGAGCCAGGAGCCCGGACCGGAGCCACGGUCCACGCCCCGGACUUGCCGGAGCCAUCAGCCAGAACCUGCCAAGGCAGCAGCAGGAUCUCGGAGCCCCCCACUCCUUCCCCCGCGAGACGUCCCGCCGUCCCGGCCGGCAGCUCGAUCGACCUCGCGCGUGUAGUACGUGGACUCACCACGGACGUGCCGCGCACACGGCUGGCGCCGCGAGCGAUCGCCAAGCAGGCACCACGCGCGCACACGCAGACACACGCACGCGGCACGCCCCUACUAGGCCCUAGCUAGCUCCCAUACACGCAGACACGCGCACGCGGCACGCCUCCAGCUCCCAUACUACGUACGGGUCUCCGUUCAGACGAGACUUUCUGGGCUCCCGGCGUUACUCCCCGGCGGGACGACGAUGUCGGCGAGCGAGCGAGGACGGCCGCGCGCGUAUGGGCGCACCCCCGUAGUACCGACCGUCCGAGGAGGACGGACGCGGAGCCACGUCGCGGUCGGCUCGUACGUCCCGUCGCGUUCCAUGGCGCCUGCCGCCACCUCGCUCUCGCCCGCCAUGCUCGCCCGCGUGGGGCCGUCCGUGGCCGGACGCGCCCAUGCCCGGGCAGGCCCGCUGCCGGCCGCCGGCCGUGUGGUGUGGUCCACCACCGCCAACAGGCAGCACCGCAGCAGCAGCGGCGGCGAUCGAUGCCUGCUGACUGACAGUGAGGCCAGGUGGAUAUACUAGUACAUGUUUAGGGAAUUCCCAUGUUUAGAUGGUCGUUUUAACGUUGUAGCGAACGGGCCGAGGCCCAUUCCAGAGGAGCAUGGGCCACCAUCAAUUCGAAGCUGACCAUGAGCAAUGCUAGGAAAAAAGUCAACCGCUUCUUAGAAUUUGCCCGGACGUUUCCUGAAUCUGGACAGCGUUAGUACGCCAUACGCGACACCAUUUUGCUCCAUUUCUUUUACAGGGUUCAAGGCCGCAUUUGGUGCGUGUACAAGACCCAAGAUACGUGUAUGCGGUGAUUGGCUUUGUUUGUCCUUUCUCUAUCGCCAUCUGAAUUUUCGGUCCAAUUGGUCGUGUUACCAAUAAAUGCAUGAUCCAUAAGUCAAGCAACGUUCUUAUCUCUCCAUUUUUCAUCAAGGAAAACAAAAAAGAAUAAUACAGUUGCUUCACUCGUUGGUUGUAUGAUUCUGAUGCUUAUGCGACUAUGCGUGAAGCAGAGAACAUAAGCAAGGACAGAUCACUUCUUUUUUUUUUUUCUGAGAAAAAAGGACGGAUCACAGAUGACAAAUUCUAGGCUCGCACUAUGCCUGCUCAACAACAAGAACAAACAGGUUGGUUGAGCCCACAUUUUGCACCCAAACGUCAACUCUUGGCUGGCAAAAAUAAGCUGAAAUGAUUUCGUGAGAGAAGAAGAAGCAAGAUGAUGAAAGAACGUGUGGAGUACCCGACAAGUGCAUUGAUAAGGUGAGCCCUAGGAGGGCCCAUCAUAAAUCUGGCCCAACUCAUCAGACUGAACUAGCAGCUAUUUAUCAGGGUUCAUACUGCUUCAUACACUUCUUUCAAGAUUGCUAACUAAACUCUAAGUGAUGCAAAUGAUAUGUUCUUCAUUUUUAUACAGAAGAGCUGAUGAUACAUCCUGUUGCGACGGGCCACUUGCCCACACUCCUUGGUGAUGUUGUGUGCAUGGAUCCUGGAGUCAGUCCAUAGCGUGCAGUUUCUGAAAACUCUUCAGAAGAAGUCGUCUUCAGGUGUCAAACUCCAUUUAUGGAUCGACAAUACUAAUUGACGAGCGUCAACCUAAUUCUAAAAGUUUUGUGAAGCUGAUUGGUUUAGAAGAAGCCAAGUUGAGCAGUACAAUCGUCGAUCUGAAAAAAAAAGAUUUUAAGUUCACAAAGCCACAUGGCGGUCUGAAACUAGCUUCAGGGUUUCAGGAGAAGAUGGCCGAGAUUUUAAUUGGGUUUGCAAUUUGAUAUGGCUGCAGGAAUUGACUAGCUAACAAACUGACUGAUUAAUACAAGUAUUUCGGUAGUAUUACUGUCAAAGUGUGCAAUUCGUCAGCGUUGUCCCUUUAUUUGCCACCACAAGAUCAGAGCAAGACAGCAACAGCUAAUGAUGUCAACACAAAUACAGUGUACUGAAUGAAUGUUGACCAUUAAUGCUCCAAGAGAAGUUGCCGAUAGCUGUAUAGUGUAGUUUGACAGGUUUAGAAUGGAUCUUUCACUCUCUUCUCCUGUCGAUCAAACUAGGUAAUGCCAAGUCAAGUUUUUUCUAUUUCAUGACUGAAUUUUGGUCAGGAAAUGAACAAAGUAUAUUAGUAUUUUUUUUGACAAGAACAAAACAUAAUAUGAACUGCUGACAUGGUAUAGUUGGAACAGCCUAAGCCUAGAAGCAGGUUUAGCACAGUAGGAAUCCAAGCUGGAGCUGAAGAACUUAUGGCAGUGGCCAUAACUAGCGAGACGAUAGUGCGCUCACGAUGAGUACAGUACAACAGAAACCAGUAACGUUGCUUCGUCAUCGAGGAGAACAGGCCCAAUUAUUCCGAAAGCGAUUAGUACUAUGGUCUUGGGGGACCUCUGUCCUUUGCCGGCUCGCCAUCAUUCUCCCGGAGAAGAUACUGACAGCAAGGAUAUUGCCGCCUAAGUAAACAGAUCAUAAAUGGCGCUCACCCCACCCGGUCAUCAAACUCGCGUGCAACUGCUGUACCUUUUCUUGUCGAAUGGAGUAGUCUGGCAAUUUUAAGCAGAGGUUAGCGAUGUUACUCUUUUUAUUCUCCGAUUAAAUGGGUCGAUCCAAAUGAACAAAUUCGGAUUUCAAAGAUAGAAAAGUGGCUAAGACAGGCCCAAAACUAUCCAUUGGCCAUUGGGUACCCACUUGGCCACUUGCAUCCGCAGCACGGGUUGCUGAUCAGACAGGCAUUGAAAUCCUGAUUAAAACCCCUCCUUUUUAUUAAAAAAAAACCUGAUAAGUCAUAAAUAAGGUGCCUAUAAGACGCAAAAUUGGAAAGGAGGCAAGGAGCUGGUGAAUCUUUGGUUAGAUUGUGCGAUUGAUAUUAGAAUUGGCAUGAGCGUCUGGCUGGUCUGAACCAACAUUUGACUCCCUUAUUCAGUUAGGGAAUUUGGGUUCAUACACAAAGAUCUUUAAGAAGGCGAAACAGUACAGACGAUAGAUGUUUCUUUUCUUUAUGUGAAAGAAAGAUUUUUUUUAAAAAAAAAUAUGGAUUCUCUAGUACUGUUUAGUGUUGAUCACUUAGCCUCUUGGUCUGUGUGUAUUAUUUAGUUUGAGUUUGUUCUAUUCGAUAACAUCAUAUUAGCGAAAGCGAAUAUUUAUCUUCAGGUGUCAAACUUCAACUCUGAAUCUGUGGUUGAUAGUAAAACUACUUAUACAAACUGUACAUCUCCUUAAAAACAACGGAUUGCAGUACCGAUUGAUGAGUAUCAAUCAAUCAAUUCUAAAAUAGAAGUUCUGUGGGCCAGAAGAAGUGAACGUUGAGCAGUGCAGAAAUCGCUAUCAGUCAAAAAACUUACUAAUUGUAUCAACCAGACAGGUUUGAAACUAGUUUGAGGGCUGCAGGCACAGCCGCACAGGUGACAGGGGUUUUUAAUUUAGUGAUUGGUGAAACUACUUGUAGUUGUACUAGCAUAGCAGUAGCAGAGCGAAGAAAACGUGGCUGCUGCUGCCUACUGCCAUGAUGAGCUCGACAAUAAGUUCCAUCAGGAAGACAAUGCACGGAAUGAAAGCCCUGCUAGCUGUUCCUUCAUCAUAUAGAACGACCCUAAUUACUCUUUUGAGAGGGAUGAUUGUAUGGUAAGGGCCUGUUUGGUACAGCGCAUGAGCUGUUGUGAGCUAUUCUUUUUUUUUGCCGAACACUUAUUUUCAAAAUAACUUUAUGGGUGAAGCUAUUUUUCUCCUCCUCUCACAAAGACAAAAGUUGGAUGAAGCUGAAAAAAGUAGCUUAUUGUAGUUUUCUCCCUCAUUUCUCUCUCUCAACUAUGCAUGAAGUAGUCGAUGAAGCUAUUUUGCCAAAUACUUUUUCCAAAACAGCUCAGCUUCAUCUAGAAAGUCACUCAUGAAGCUAUUUUCUAAAAAAACAGCUUUACCAAUAAAGUUGAGCUGUGCCAAAUAAGUCCUAAGACGUGGACAUCUCUCUCUCCGUUGCCUUCUCUCUAAAACUCUAAUAACAUCACCGCCAAUGGAGAGCUUAGCGUGCACACACCCUCAUGGGCGAAGCCACGUUGAAGUUACCUAGUGCACAGGCACCAGGGUAAAAAAAAAUUUGCUACUAAAUGACAUUUUUUUCACCAUAUGUUCACUAAAAUUUUGUAAGUUACUUACAUAGUGCACCAGGGUUCGUUUGCUCCUAGCUUCGCCUCUGCACACCCUAGUGAUGCUAUCAUAUUUUGAUUCUUUUUUGAGCACUUCUAUCAUCUUUGAUGAAGCCUGAAGAAUCAAAGCCUAGUCAGAGUCAACGUAGGCCGUGGGAUUGGGCCGGAUGGUUUUCGUUGCGGCUCAUGUAAUGGGCUUCCCUGCUUAUACACAAAGGCAAUGGGCUACACUUGCAACUACUGAAUGCCUGCAUCUUGACAAACCUGUAAAAGAAAUAGAAGGGUGAUCACUUCUCUUUCUACCGUUUGGAUUUCACCCUGUCACAAGACAAAAGGAGUACAAAGUUGCACACCUUCUUGGUGAGAAUCAAAACAGUUAUUGUCAAGGCUCCUUGACUCCUUCAAUAUUCAAGUUUACACGCUUGGUAGCUAGUGACAAAUGGAAAGAUGUGAAGAACUUUGGCGUAUUGAUUCAUGUCGAUGGAGCAAUGUUUUGGCUAACUGAUGAAGACGCUGGAGCUAGCUGGAAGCAUGUUCUAGCGAAGCUAAGCUACUGGAAUGUUACUCGACACAUGAAGGGUAUUUCAUUUUUGGAGCAGAGGUCUGCCAAUCAGGAAACUUGUCUUGUGUUAAGGAAGGAAAGAAACAAAACAAAACAAAAAAAAAAAGAAAAAGAGAGAGAGAACUUGUCUUGUGUUAAGGAAGGACAGAAACAAAAAAAAAGGAAAAAAAGAGAGUGAACAAAAAAAAUAAAAAAUAGUUUGUCAAGAAUGGGAUUCGAACCCAUGCCCUUUCGGACCAGUACCUGAAACUGGCGCCUUAGACCAACUCGGCCAUCUUGACAUGUUGCUUUUGGUCUAGAAUAUAAUCUAAUUAAUCCGAUAACUCCACCAAAGCAGAAUUGUAACAAUAAAGCUUUGGACCCAAGACUUCGGUGUAUUUUCAAUAACUAUGUAUUGCAACACUGAUUAUCCAACAGUUCAAUUUAUAUCAAGAUUCAUGCAAGUCAAAAUAGAUUGUUUUUAUUUUGGUAGAGGUGAAUGGGUCAUAUAUAUAAGCACUGCGUAACUAGGUCUAAAAAAAAGCAACUGAAGUGAAAGUGGAACACCGAUUCUAACCACGCGCACUGUUUCCUUCGUGUCGAUUUCAACAUCCACAGUAAUAAAAGUAUGUUCAAAUGUUCAAUCAUGGACUAACUCAUCUACUCUACUCCUGCAUCAAAUAUAUGACGAAGUUUUAACGAACCAACGCAUAUGAGGACAGCUAGUAGCCGGCAUUUACCUAUCCGGUACCCAGGUUGUCAUUAUUUGAAGCUUAUAUAUAAACCUGUCAUAUUCCUGGCAAGUACAUACAGAAGUAAGGGCUUGUUUAGUUCUUCCCAAAACCUAAAGUUUUUAAAAAUUCCCUGUCACAUUGAAUAUUUCAAUAUAUGAAUGGAGCACUAAAUAUAGACGAAGACGAAAAAAAACUAUUUACACAGUUUAUUUGUAAUUUGCGAGACGAAUCUUUUGAUUCUAGUUAGUCUAUGAUUGAACAAUAUUUGUCAUAUAUAAACAAAAGUGCUACGAUGCUCCUUUUCUAAAAUUUUUUGAAACUAAACAAGGCCUAAACAUAUUUAAUUGGCGCUUGUUUAGACCGACAAUCUUCUUUCUCAAAUCAAAACAGAGUACCAGUUCCCUUGCAGCAGUUUAUUUCGUCUGCCGAUCCACGUCGUCAUCCUUUUUUCUUCUAAUUUGCCCGGUCAGAGCCGUCCGAUGUGGUGGUGUGGUGUGGCAGUGGCAGCUUCAUAUUUCACUGGUUGUUUGCUGGUCUAGAAUAUAGUACCAUUUUAAACAAUUUAGAAUACACUUCUUCCAAAGUACUUCAGUUACUUGUGCUGUGGUAACAUCCAUGUGAAAACAAUACUAUUAAUUUCAGCCUUGACUUUUUAGACUAGCGAACAAAGAUAACAGUCCAGCCGUACUUUUUCGACCAGCUAGCAGUGUUUUUCUCUCACAAAGUCACAGUAAAUUAGCCGACAGUAAUUUCAGUCUUGACUUUUGAGACCAACGAACAGGCGUGUGACACCGAUAUGAUCCGACAUUGGAAAUGGAGCUUGCUCAAAAUUAUGACGUAGUACUAUCAACCAACCAACAUAUACAUGAGGACAAAUAGUGGCCGCUGGCCGGCAUUGACGUACCCGUUACCCACAGGUUGUCAUUGUUUGAAUCUUAAACCUGUCAUAGUCCUGGCAAGUGCAUAAAUAAAAACAUACCAUGUACUAGUGCAGCAAAGAUUUCUACCUGCUGUUUCAGAGCCAUUUUUAUUGGCGGAUGACGCAACCAGUGGCACUUGUUUAGACCUACAAUCGUGUCAAAUCAAAACAGUACCGGUCCACGUCGUUCUUUUAGCUUGUUUGCCCGGUCUGAGCCGUCCGAUGUGGUCAUGUGGUGUGGCAGUUUUACAUUUCACUGGAAGUUGCCAAAACUAUACUCAAUUUUGUGCAUUACCUGUUCAGAUCCAUUGUUCCUUCAACCACCUGGCGUGGCCAAGGAAGUAACAUGACCAAGGACCAGUCCAGUGUACUGCCAUGAACACACACACACGUUCACACAUUGACCUAAAAUUUCCGAAUUCCGAUAAAAAACAAUGCAACCGAACUCGUAAUUGAUUGGGCUAGCCUCUGCCCGCUUUCUACAAGAACUCACGCUGUUUCUGCGAAGCCAGAGAAGCCUGAUCAGCUAGCAUAGCAUAUUCGCGCUGGACCGGAUCCAACUCAAUAUCUUAAUUACGCAGGAUACUAAUUGGCUCGUAUAGUCAUAUAGGUAGAUUGAUGUAUAGAUAGACACGUCGUGUUGGGAUGUGGUCAUGUUCUCUUACAUUACAAUAUAAUGUACGUUAUACCGAGUAGUAUAUAAGCACUUAAUUAGUUGGUCGAAUCUGUCGCUGCAGCUACACAAGAAACUUUGUCGCAGGAAAUCGCCAAUUGGCAAGGAUGAAGCUUGUGAUCGCCUUCUUGGUGGUGUUCUCUCUCGCCGUCUCCUCCACUGCGGAGAAGUUCGAUUUCUUCUACCUUGUUCAACAGGUGAUGCAUCAUAUGCGUAUUAUCGUGACCGGGGAGAGAGAUCGAUCGAUCGAUCGGCCUCUCAUGAUUUUAAUCCAGGAACGACGACGGAAUAUAUAUAAUCUAAUAAUCUAACAUGUGUUCCUGACUUCCUCCCUCGUUGAUGGCAUUACUCAUGCAGUGGCCGGGGUCGUUCUGCGACACGAGGCAGGGCUGCUGCUUCCCGGAUGACACGAAGCCGGCGGCGGCGUUCGGCAUCCACGGGAUGUGGCCCAACUACGCCAAGUGCCGUGGCCGCCAGGGCCUCGCCCGCGCGAUGCUCGGCGACGCCGCCGGCGCCGACGACGCCUUCCUCUCCACGGUGGGGCGGCGCGGCAAGUGCUGGCCGGAGUACUGCGACGACGGCAACGAGCUGAGCCCGUGGGAGAUCCGUGACCUGGUGGCGUCGCUGGACCGGAGCUGGCCGACGCUGUCGUGCAAGAACCGGCGCAGCUUCCAGUUCUGGAGCUACGAGUGGAAGAAGCACGGCACCUGCUCCAACCUGGAGCCGCACGACUACUUCGCGCGCGCGCUGGCGCUCAAGGCCAAGCACGACCUCGCGGCGAUCCUCGCGGACGCCGGGAUCGUGCCGUCGGACACCGAGACGUACACGGUGAGCAGCGUCCGGGACGCCAUCGCGCAGGGCACCGGGUUCGUGGCCAACUUGGAGUGCAACCGCGACGCGGACGGCGAGGCGCAGCUGUUCCAGGUGUACCAGUGCGUGGACCGCGACGCCAAGAAGCUCAUCGACUGCCCGCUCGCCAUGCCCACCAAGUGCACCGACCGGGUCAAGUUGCCCGUCUUCUGAUUCCGAGUUGUCGUUUUGUGUAAUUGUAAAACGGAUGUAGAUCCAUGGAUACAUGCAUGUGUGCGUAGUAUAUGAUUUCGAAAGCGGGUUCGAAUAAUAUGUACGUUUCCCUUUGUGAUUUUUUUUUUAAAUUAUACUGUACAACGCAGACACUCACGACGUAAUGGCUGAAUUUAAAAAUCACAACCCUAAUUCUUACCGUGCAUUAAUUGGUGAGGUCAGUUUUCUUUCUCUCUAAUGGGAUCAUGUGAGGGAAAAAUUUAACAACGCUCGGUAAGGAGACGGAGACCAAUUGGAAGGAUCGUUUGAGAUGAGAAAGAAGUUGAAUUUGUGUCGCACCAAAAAAAAUCAAGGCCGUGUUUAGUUGGUGAAGAGAAAAAAUUCGUAACACUGUAGCAGUUUCGUUUGUUUGUGGUAAUUAUUGUCCAACCAUAGACUAAUUAGACUCAAAAGAUCCGUCUCGUAAAUUUCGACCAAACUGUGCAAUUAGUUUUUAUUUUUAUCUAUAUUUAAUACUCUAUGCGUAUGUUUAAAGAUUCGAUGUGACGGAGAAUCUUCAAAAACUUUAAAUUUUAGGGUGGAAGUAAAAAACAAGGCCUUCAGUGCAGUUUGGCAGAACUCUUGCAUUGAAUGCCUCAUAGAGACACUCCUUCAAUUGCAUGCGCGUGACGACCUUCAAGAGCACACCGUACACUUGUCACAAAAUCCAGUGAACGACCUACUGUUUGAUGAUCAACUUCUAUGCAAUGAUGAAUACUCCGUAUUGCAUUAGGAGAAUAUUAUUUCGCUGGCAAACUCUAGGUUGUUGGUUAGUUUUUUUUUUCUUUUUGAGAGAAAUCGUUGGUAGUUUCGUAGACCAAAGUUUCAGUUGAUAAUAACGCCAAAUAAGAACAGAUGCUAUUUUUUUUUUUCGUUUCAUGUCCCCCUGAGAUCUAUGGUCUCUUCGUCUUCUCACCUAGCUACCUGGCGUGGCCACUCAAGCAACCGAAUCAAGUAACGUGAACACAAUGUCCAUACGCUUGACGGAAGUAUCCAAAAAAAAUGAAAGAAACGUGAGCAAAAUGUAACCGAAUCAACUAACAGCUGGAUACUUCUGCAUUGCUUGGCACCCCCUAAGCUUGACGGAGCUAAAGAAUAUUGCACGGUAAGCUGAGGAAGCAGUGUACACACCAUCGCUACCAAACCGCCAAACAAAGUGAUCCUCGGUGUCAGGCUGCAGCACCAUGCCACGCACCAGCUCGUCCACUCUUAGGAAGCCAAGAAUAGCCUGGACCGUACGAGCUCCUCUGAUGUCAGUUGCCCAUGCGCGGUUGAGCAAGGCCGAGUCGACCGUGCGGCGGCGAAGUCUGAUAGGCACCAGAGCCAGUAAGUAGGGCGCAAGGUGGCCAACUGAGUGCCCAUUGAUCCAGCGAUCAGAUUCCUAAUUCUGAGAAAACAAUGUAAUAAACGAAGUCGUAACAGCUGAUUGGAUCAGAGUAUCAGACCUGUGCCUGGCCAGCUGCUCGUUAGUUUGACCUUGAUUCCCUAUACAUGAUGAUGAACUAAUAAUUAAAAGUAUAUCCAUCGCAUAUUCGCUGGCGGUCGGCAUGCAUGGCCUCGCUCGAUCGUGCCAUGCUCAGCGACGCGACGACGCCUUCUCCUCCUCCUCCUCCUCCUCCUCCUCCAUCUUGGGCUCUUGGCCUUGGGGCUACGACGCCGGCAGCCCGCUGAGCGCCUGAGCCGCUGGGAGGCUGGGAGAUCCGGGACGUGGGCUGCUAUAUGAUCCAUCUCCUUUUGGCGGGCCUCCAGCUGCAGUUAAGCCGACGACCCAUGGGCCCUUCUGGGCCGUUUGGUAUAAAUCGACGCCGUCUCAGACUCCAGGUUCGAAGCUUAGUUUUUUUAGGGAAAAAAAAAGAACGACCAAGCAUGACUAUCUCAUGGAGCCCAUCGCAUGCUAGUUGUAAAAUGUCAAUUUCCUAGUACUCGGUAAGUUUUAUCGAACAAACCUGUUACCAUUUCUAGGUUUCGGUUAUCCGAUUCAUUGAGAUCUUCUGUUAGUCAAUUGCCAAAGGAUACCUGAUGACCUGAACUUCUCCUCCGCUUCCAUUUCUUUUAUAAAUACCUCCUCCGUUUCUUCGUGGUUCAUAUAAUAUACUUUUAUAUUUAUAGAUGCGCGCAGCUCUUUCACGUUCCUGCGUGUAUUGCUGGCUAACACAGGAUCUCGUCUCAGCUGUAAAGUGAAAUGGCGUUCUGGCAUGAUGAUCUCGUAUCGAAGCUUAAGAUAAAGUAUUGCUCCAACUGUUAUUAAUAACACUGUUUAUACUAGAAAAACUCCCAACAACCGUGUGCUAAUGCCAUAUCACGCGCAUGCUGAUCCUAUAAAUCCAGUGUCAAGCAACCAGCCGGGUAGCAGUCCAACACCACUGAAUCUAAACCACAGACAGUGACAGAGCCAAACGGAGUGCAAUCGAGAGCUGUCUGAGCAUCGAAACGAGAGGAAGAGCAUGGCUCUCCACUGCCCCCUCGCCGUCGUCGCCGUCCUCCUACUUCCUCUCGUCGCCGCCUCCGCGGCAACCGAUUUCGAUUUCUUCCACCACGUUCAGCAGGUAGCUACAAUCUCCGGUCCAUUGCCAUUGCCACCACGUCCAGGCGUACGUCCAGCAGAUUGUUAUGGAUAAUUGGAUACGCAUACUGUUUUGACUGCUGUUACUUGGUUGUACAGUGGCCCGGCUCUUACUGCAACACAAACACAAAUGCCACCUGCUGCUUCCCGGGCGGCAAGAAGUCGGCGGCGGACUUUGGCAUCCACGGCCUCUGGCCAGAGUACGCCGCGUGCCGCCCGACGCCGUGAACCCCAACAAGACCAGUUGCUGGCCGGACUCCUGCAACGCCACCGCUCCUCUCGACCUGUCACAGGUACGUACACUGUACUGUACACUACCAUUCAGUACCGGUGCACCGUGCACCCGCACUAUGCAUCAUCCACCAUGGCCAUGGUCUGACGGCACUCGGCACUCGCACUGUGCAGAUCAGGGACCUGGACAGCGACCUGCGCCGGAACUGGGGGACGCUGUCGUGCAAGAACAGGAAUAACACGCAGUUCUGGAGCCACGAGUGGAGCCGGCACGGCACCUGCUCCAACAUGGACCAGCACUCCUACUUCCUGGCCGCCCUGGAGCUCAAGGCCCGGUUCAACCUCACCCGCAUCCUGCUGGACGCCGGCGUCGUGCCGUCCGACGACAAGCAGUACUGCCUCCGCAGCAUCCGGGACGCCGUGGCGGCGGCCACGGGGUCCGCGCCGAUGCUGGAGUGCAACCGCAACGGGCGCAACGAGACGCAGCUGUACCAGGUGUUCCAGUGCGUCGGCCUCGACGGACGGACCUCGUCCACUGCCCACCGCCGGAGCACCGCAGGUGCACCGACAUGGUCAAGUUCCCACCGUUCUAAGCAUUUGGUUCUGUUGAUCUGCUUGAACGAAGCCGAGCUGAAUUUCUCGUUUGAGCCGUUGUGUUUUCGGCAUUUGCACCUCGCUAAGAUUCAACCAUUUUGACUGUAGCAUUCAACGUCCACUAAUGAAUGCAGCCAUACAGGGCGGCGUGCACUAUGCAACGUACAAAACUGACACAGCCAAGCACCCAAAGCUGAGACGAGACAGCGGCCAAUUCGACAGCUCGAGCAGAGGCUGUGGCUGACAGGCUCAGUUCAACGCUGCCUCCUGGUUCUGCUGCACGUACGCGAUGCCCUUGUCGAUGCUGGCCUUGAGCUUGGGCUUGAGAUCCUCCAGCUCGCGCGCCUCGUAGUCGGUGAGUCCCCUCAGCUCUGAACCCAGCACCUCCUCCACGCCGUCCCUCCCAAGCUUCACCCUGCACGCGAAGAACGGGAGCUCCGGCACAACCUGCGACUGCACGUACGUGCACUCGUACACGUCGUCGUGGCCGUCGAGUCCACGCAGCGACGCCUCGAGGAACCGCGCGGCGGCGUACGCCAUGGACAGCGUGGCGGACCCGGCGCCGGCCUUGGCCUCCACCACCUCGGUGCCGGCGUCCCGGAUCCUGGCGGUGAGCUCCUCCACCUCCUCGUCCGUGAACGCCGCCUUGGGCCGCGCCUUGGACAGCAGCGGCAGGAUGGUAGCCGCCGCGUGGCCGCCCACAACCGGCACAUCCACUUCCGCCACGGGGAGGCCCUUCCUCGCCGCUACGAACGCGUUGGCGCGGACCACGCCCAGCGUCGUGACGCCGAACAGCCUCCGCGGGUCGUACGCGCCCUUCUGCUUCAGCACCUCGGCGGCGAUCGGCACCGUGGAGUUCACCGGGUUGCUGAUCACGUGCACCAGCGCGCCCGGCGCGUGGUCCGCCACCGCCGCGACGAGGUCGCGCACGAUGCCGGCGUUGACGCUGAACAGGUCGUCCCGCGUCAUGCCGGGCUUCCGGGGCACGCCGGCGGGGAUGACCACGACGUCCGCGCCCGAUAGGCACCCCGCGAGCGCGUCUUUACCUGUGAAGCCGGCGACCUGCGCCGGGGUGUUGCAGUGGCUGAGGUCGGCGGUCACGGGCUCCACGUUGGCGAUGUCGUACAGGUGCAGCGCCGAGACGAGCGGGGACAUCUUGGCCAGCAGAGAAAGAGGCUGCCCGAUCCCUCCCGCCGCGCCAAGGAUGGCCACCUUGUAGCUGCCGCUGCCGGCCUGCGCGACGACGACCCGGCUCACGGCUCGGGACCUUGGCACUCUUGGUCUUAGAGUGAGAGAGUGACAGUAGGAACUGGAGUUACUGAACUGUUGUGCGUCGAAGGAACUAGCGCCAUGCCGGGGCCGUUUUUUGCAAGGAACUGAACUGAAGGAUAGGGUCGCGAUUGCAGCCGCUGCCAUCCUUUUCCCCUCUCUAUGAAGAUCUCUGAGGAUCUGUUUAACAAAAUGUAAACAAUGCAGAAGUAUCCAGCUGUUAGUAGUGCCAGAAGUUGAGGGUGCUCGAAAUGAGAAGUCAGUAGCAUGAUAUUACUAAUUUCUAAAAAAAAUGAAAGAAAAAAAAAAAGACAGAAACUUUGCCGCUCAAUUAAGCGGGGAGAAGGAAGUUAUUAUAUACACAUGACUAUCAAGGUGACAAACACAGCGAUCCGAAGACCCACCUAGAACCAUCCCCUUCCCAGGGAUUACCCUAUAGAGGAAAACGCUCUGCGUGUCUUUGUUCUAUGUCUUCUUUAGUCAAGGAAGUGACAUGCGACUAAGCCUGGACGAAAAACUCGAAACUCGGUAGCUCGCUCGACUCGCUCGUUAAUGGCUCGGCUCGAGCUCGACUCGUUUCUUAACAAGCCAGCUUGUUUUAUAAUGAGCUAGCUCGUUUUAUAACGAGCCAGCUCGAGCUAGCUCGCGAGCAGCUCGUUAGCUCGUAUGAGCUAGUAAAUUCACAAGCCAAAACUCGAAUUAGCUUGGCCCAUAUGGCCAUAUGGUUGUGCAUCCCAUGCUCCAUGCGGUGACCUUGGCCCAGCCCAAUUUUUGAUGAAUUUUGUAUGGAUGAUAAAUUAUGUAAUGGUCUUAGAUUUGUGGUGCGUAGUGGGCUGCCUUUAAACUUUACAAAUUGUGGAUCAAUGGAUGGUUUGAUAUAUUCUUGGCUUGUUUCUUGUCUAUCAGUUAAAUUAUGGAUCACUUAUUUUGUUUCUUGGCUUGUUGCUCAGUUGCAUCUUGCUGUAAUGUGUUUUUGAUGUUUGGCUCACGAGCCAAAACGAGCUGCUCGAGCUACUUAGCGAGCCGAGCCGAGCUGCUGUUCUAGGUCGUUAGUGUAACGAGCCGAGCUAUAACGAGCCGAGCUGGCUCGAUAUCCAGACCUACCUGCGACGCUGUCUUAUGUUUGUUUUUUAAAAUACUCGCUCCUAUUUUUUUCCUUCCACAAGUUCCACAUAAUCACCCUUGAAACGCCUCCCGAUCAUGCUUUGGCACCUUGUUGAUUGUUGCGUCAUGCCACCAAUCAGCAAUGCAAGCUAGGUCUUGCUACGGCAGCUGCAGAUUGAUGCUUUCCCAAACUAGCACUUGGCCCCAGACGACCUUCGCAGAUGGUCAAAGCAAGGAGAGGUGAAGCCAUGUCUCUAAAGGUCCAUUACACAACACAUAGUGGUCCUGAUGUUGCCAUCCCUUCUUGUGUAGAUUGUCCGUCAUUCCUUAUCGAAAAAAAAAAAGAUUGCCCGUCGUUAGUACUUUGCCAUGCAUGAGGAUCCAGGUGAGUACUUUGCAUUUAUUCUCCACAAGCGCUGGAAUUUUUGGUGUGGCCCCCUAAACUGGAUCCUGUAUGCCGAUCGUGCUGGUUACUUUCCAUCAGCUAUCCACUUCCAAGUAAUUGGGUCAAAUUUCUACAAAAAAAUGUACUUGUAGCUGAAUUGACGCCAUGUAGGACGACUGAUGUGGCACUACGUUGGCUAAAACCACUCUUAAAAACGCUACAAGGGAGGUAAAUCAGAUGAUUUCAAUAGUUAGAGGAGUCUAAAAACUGGUUUUGUAAGUUGUAACCGAGGGAGAUAAAUCAAGGCAGGCGAAACAGACUUUUACUAUCAGUCGUGAACAGCAUAAGUAUUCAGCCCAUCAAAAAUUGGAUCGUGAUGCCCGAUCCGGAUUCGGCCCGCAUGCUACCAGCUGCCGGCCCAACACCGCAGGCCUGCUCUCCACGCACCCGACCCAACGCCACCGAGCAGGACUGCAGGAGCGCGGAGCGCCCACGCCCGGGCCGGCAGGCGCAAUGCUAGUUGUUGGCAGGGAAGAAUGCGGUCUCGCGAUGAUCCAUCGUUUCCGCGAGAGCUCACCUUCGCAAAUCCACCGGCUCUGCCUCUCCGAUCACCGCUUCAUCAUCAUUUCACACCCAAAUAGCGACGAUCGAUCGAGCUCUCGACGGCUGCUGGUGCUGGCUAAUGCGGCCUCCCUCCGUCCGCCCGCGCCCCCACACCCAAAAGCAUGCAGAUACGACGCGCGAGGGAAGAGAAAUACUACUGUAGUACGUAGAGAAGUAGACUGGAUCGAGAUGGAGAAAGUGGCGAGCACCUGACGGACGGGAGAGCGCGAGCAACGGAGGAUGGAGCCAGUGCCCAGUGGUGGCUCGCGGCGCGGCGGCUGCCCGUGGCCGUGGCCGCGUGGCGCGCGGGAGAGAACAAGUGAGUGGCGUGGUGAAGUUACGAGCUAGAGCGGGAAGCCUAUACCUCGCCGGGGCCAACAGCCGGAGAGGAUCGAUGGUGGCAUUGUGCAUGUGGCUGUGGAUUUUUCGGCUCUUAUUUCCUUCCUAUCACAAAUUUAUUUAUCAGUACACUUUGAAAAGCACCACUAAAACGCUUUGGGGAGCUCACUGUCUACUGAAUCUCUAUCAACAAAAACAAAAAAUGUAUGUUUUGAAAAGCAACACUAGCUAGCACUCUGAACCGCGCACGCCAAUCUUGAAAAUGGUUUGUUCGUCAGUGGAACUGCAUUCUUUCUCCCUGAUUUUUUUCAGUGAAAUACAUAGUGGAGCCAUUCCGGAUCACAACCAUAUGCAAGGUUCUUUGAAUGAGUCGUGCCCGUGCAUUCGAUGAUUUGAAAGAGUGACAAAUAUUUCCACAUCUGGAUCGGAGGAGAGUCAUGCCAACACCAUCACGUAGCAUCAGAGACGCAAUUUCACAAAGCCUAAGCCAUUCCUUUUCUCCGUCUCAUAUACUCUCACGAGUCAUGCAUGAAACCAUAUCUCCAUAACUUCUCUUCAGUGGGUGGAUGUCACCUGAUGUCGUGGCCAGUACCGUUCAUUUGGUAUACCGCUAACAACUUCUCUUAAUUAAGUGGAUGGAUGUCACCGUACGUGAUGUCGUGUCAGUACUACCGUUCGUUUAGUAUACCGCAAACAAGGAAAAGAAAAACGUUCCAACACCACGUACGUACGUGCCACACGCUAACAUAAGAGACACCAUCUCACUGAACUUCACGAGCCUCGGCGUCAAUCAAAUCGACCUAUCCCAACUCGAUGCUCCCAUCGGCGAAGUUGAGGUUUGUGCCGCGAUCAAAGAGCUGCCGAGUGACCGUGCGCCGGGGCCGGACGGAUUUACUGGCAUGUUCUACAAGACCACAUGGCCUGUGAUUCGCUUGGAGGUAAUGGCUGCUGUUCGCGCGUUCGAGCAGGGGAAUUCAAGGCACCUGAACCUCUUGAACAACGCAGUCAUUGCUCUUCUUCCAAAAAAAAAUGGGCGCUACCAAUCCUGGAGAUUUCAGACCAAUCACCAUGGUACACAGCUUUGCCAAGUUAAUUUCAAAGGUUCUGUCCUUGCGUCUUGCGCCGCGGCUACCAGACUUGAUCAGUAAAAACCAGAAUGCAUUCAUCAAGGCCCGAUCAAUCCAUGACAAUUACAAGUAUGUUCAGAGGGCUGCAGCUCUUAUCAGGAAGAAGCAGGUUCCUAUGCUACUACUCAAACUAGAUAUCUCAAAGGCCUUCGAUACUCUUUCCUGGCCGUUCCUCUUGGAGACACUUAGAGCACAUGGAUUCAGCGCACAGUGGUGCUCCUGGAUUGAGUCGCUACUCAGCUCUGCUUCCUCCAGAAUAAUGCUCAAUGGACGCCAGGGACCUCCAAUUAGGCACAUGAGAGGAGUCCGUCAAGGCGACUCUCUUUCCCCAAUGCUAUUCAUAAUUGCCAUGGAUAUCUUACACCGGCUGCUAGCGAAGGCGGUCCAGGCUUCGGCCAAUGCCGAUCCAGGAAAUCAAAUUCCAAUGCAGCUUGUACGCGGACGAUACAAUCCUGUUCAUCCGGCCAACAGUACAGGAAGCACUGGCAGUGAAAGACAUCUUUGGCAUCUUCGGAGAAUCAUCCGGACUAUGCACCAACUUGGCAAAAUGUUCAGUAACCAACAUCUAUGGCGGAGAAGCAGUGCUGCCACAAAUCAUCUCAAUUCUAGGGUGCCAAGAGCAAUAUUUUCCAAUCCGGUACUUGGGGCUGCCCCUCAGCACAAGAACAAUACCAAAGGCCAACCAGCAGGCACUGGUGGAAGCAGUGGCAAGGAAGCUGCCGUCAAGCCAUGCAUCGCUAAUGAACAGAAGCGGUAGGCUGAUAUGGGUGAAAUCAGUGCUGCGAUCCGUACCAAUUUAUGCAAUGAUGGCCGAGAACCUUCCUCCCUGGGUAGCCAAAGAGAUCGACUCCAUUUGCCGGAAGUUCUUCUGGACAGGUACUCAUCAAUCUGUGCGAGGUCGAUGCAUGGUGGCCUGGAAAACGUGCUGCAGACCGACUCAUUUGGGUGGGCUAGGGAUCAGCGAUCUACGCCUAACCGGGAAUGCCCUCCAGACAAGAUGGUUGUGGCUGCAACAGACGGAUGAAGACAGAGCUUGGAGUCAACUACCGCUCAAGGUCUCAAAGGAGGUUCAGGCUUUCUUCAAACCCUCCACUUUCACUGUACUGGGAGACGGGCGCCGCACACUGUUUUGGGAGGACAGAUGGAUUGACGGCCUCAGUAUUGAAGACAUAGCGCCCUACAUCCAUGGGCGAGUGCAUAAGCGAGUAAGAAUGCGGCAAACUGUCAGGGAAGGACUGCAUAACAGAACUUGGGUUCGAUGCAUCAGUGGCGGCCUUUCAGUCACAGAGGUCAUCGAAUACCUCCAUCUGUGGACAACUCUCAACUCCUACGAGCUCACCGACGCUCCAGAUCGGCUUGUCUGGCGGUGGACAGAAGAUGGGAGAUACACCGCCAAAUCAGCCUACUCCAUGAUGCACGUUGGCUCAAUCAAGAUGUGUGGACACAAGCUUGUAUGGAAAACUUGGGCACCACUGAGAAUCAAAAUCUUCCUAUGGCUUGCUCUCAGAAGGAGACACUGGACCGGAGAUAGAAGACGGAGGCAUGGUCUAGAUGCACAGGCCAGCUGCUACCUUUGUGAUCAGGCAGAGGAAUCCAUUGACCACAUCAUCAUUGAAUGCCCGCUGGCAAGAGAGCUUUGGUUUCACAUCCUCCAUUCGCUCGGGCAACAGUUACCACAAGCACAGCCGACGACAUUAAAAUGGUGGAGACAGCUGCGCUCUACGUUCUCUGGUAUCCGCAAACCAGGAGCGGACUCCCUCUUCGCGCUAGUCUCGUGGACAAUUUGGAAAGAACGCAACACUCGGUGCUUCAGGCAGUCUUCUGCAACCAUCGCCGAACUGCUCCAGCUAAUCAAGGAUGAAGCCGAUCGAUGGAUACAGGCGGGAGCUCCUGGGUUAAAAAUUUUGGCGCAGGGAUAGUCCCUAGCCCUUUGCGUUCAGCUCUGGUUGUUUUCCUUCGCGAUGUAGCUUACCGCAAAAUACUAACGCUAGGAGCGGCACUCUUGUAAGAUCCAAACUCUUCUCUUCUAAUAUAACGAUAUACACUCUCGUGCAUAUUCGAGAAAAAAAAAGUAAAGGAGACCAGCAGUUGUCCUUUGAAGUAUCAUCUCGAGAGUACCUACUCGCCACUUCAGCAUUGACACGGCAGGGCAGGCAGCAUCCUGCUCAGCAAUUGAGACACAGGGCUCAGGGUACAGACAAAAGUAGGCAAAUACAGGUGUCGAAUUAUGAAAUCAAACAAAUCAGAGCUGGAUACAUACGUUACGUACAUAUUGUUAUUCCAAAACCAACCAAGCAGGCCAGCUAACGCUUCUGGAAGCGAAGAAGAGAUGCAUAUUCCUGACCAGAGAACCCCACGGCGUCUUCCUGUAUAAAAACUGACAUAUCUUUACCAAAUGGAUGGGAUCAUGAUUCAUGCCACUCCAAUCAUUGACGUGAUUCGAGGUUAUGAGCAAUCCAUCCAUGAACAAAAAAGGGUGAGCAGAAAUGUGCCCUUUUUCCUUCGUAUCAUCAUGAUCACUGCAGGGACAGGGCCCAUCCAGCCUACUUGAUCAGCUUUGAUUCCCGAUCUGAAUUACGGACAUGGCCCGUUUGGGUUUUUAUCGUCGUCCUCUGUGACGAAAUAGGGGAGGGACCACCAAAACGAAGAAGAUGCUGUCGUCGGCCUUGUAUACCUUUGCAUUGCAUCUGCCCACACGGCACCAUGCGAGGUCGUGUACUCCAGCCAGUCGUAACGAGGCCAGUACGUCAAAAGUAGAAAUGCUAGGGACACAUGCGAGGAGGUAGGGUAUGAUCCUCUUAUAUCUGUAGUUUGGAAGUUGGAACUUAUUCUAGCACAAUUAUAAUCUAAACUAUAAGCCAUAGGAUGUUCUUUAUUUAAUGCAUGUACCAUAUAUAAUCCUAAAUUAUAGUCUAAACUAUAACCCAUAGGAUGUUCUUCAUUUAAUGCAUGUACCAUAUAUAAUCCUACUCUAUAUAGAUUAUCUACCUCCUCACAUGUUCAACAAGUAAAAGAUUAGAGCAUCUCCAAGAUUAUCUAUUUCUCAUCUCAUAUCUUAUGAUUAGUAGUGUAUUUUUUACUUCUUCUCUUCUGAUAAAUUCAAAUUGUCAAUAUUUUAAGAAUAGAUAGGGGAGAUAAGGGUCUCCUACAUUUGAAGGAAAGGGAAAUAGAUUUUGAGUAACUACUUAAAACUUUUAGAAACCAGGUAUAGGAUGAAUAAUUUGUUGGAACAACUAUAAUCCCUUAUAUUGCAUUUUUUGCAUUACUAGGUAUGGGAUAAGUAAUUUGUUGGAGAUAUUUUUUACAUAUGUUUUUUUAUCUCUCUUUCAUUAGGAAUUCAUAAGCUACUGCAAACGUGAGGUUCUCAUGUAACAUCCAAAUUCAAGACAAGUACCUUCUUUAUUGGAAAAUGUGAUCAACAUAGGAGCAGCUUGACAUUUUUUUAAUUAAGAAGAAAAAUAUACACCUAAUUUGAGUUAAAUAGGAACAUUAAGCAAAUGGAUGCGUCACCACAUAUUCCACCUAAUCAAUUGAGCUGAGCUCACUUCCCUACUCAUGCUGUUCUCAUAGACCCAGGCCUUGUUUAGUUCACCUCCAAAACCAAAAACUUUUCAAGAUUCCUUGUCAUAUCGAAUCUUGUGGUACAUGCAUGAAGCAUUAAAUAUAGAUGAAAAAUAAAAACUAAUUGCACAGUUUGUCUGUAAAUCGCGAGAUGAAUCUUUUAAGUCUAGUUACUUAUUUGGAUAGUAUUUGUCAAAUAAAAACAAAAAUACUACAGUGCCAAAAUAAAAAAAAAUGGAUCUAAACAAGGCCCCAAUACUCUUCUCGUAAAAUUCUUGUUGUCCGUCCUAUUACACCAGGAUCUCUCCCUCAAAUAAUCCGUUCUAAAACACAAUGAAGCCACCAAGAAAGUUGCUAUUAGGCCAUCCUCAGUGAGGGUUUUAUGACUCAUUUUUCAACACAUCCAUAUUUUAGAAACAGUGUAGAAGAAUUUUAUCCUCAUGAAACUCUAUCUAUUCCCAUAAAAUUUUUUGUUCGUUUGGCUAAUAAGCCAUGACUGAAAGUAUUGUUGGCUGAUUUGUUGAGAGACAAAAACAAUGCUGAAUGACUGAUAAGCUCAAACAAACAAAGACCACAUACAAUACAAAAACAAUUAGAUCUUAAUCUCAACACGCGUACACGCAGACGCUGUCAAUUAACAAUUCAAUGCAAAACACAACUUAAGAAGAAAAGGAGUGCAAGAGUGGCGUGGGCUUAAGAAAAGCCCCAGUGGCAUCGAGCGCAUCGCGCAGUCGUCCUCGGCUACCCCCGCGGCUCCGCCCCACCUCCCCUUCCGUCAGCGACCGCAACCACCAGACCACCGGUCACCACCCAAUGGAGGCUGGGGAAAUCGGAGGGGCCCUCCUCUUCGUCCUCGCCGCCGCCGCCGCCGUCGCGGUCGCCGUGUCCGUCGGCGCGGUCGACUUCAGCCGCCCGCUCACCGGUACACACAUUCGCUGUUCCCACCCAUUCUAUUUCUCUCUCCCCCACCCCUCUCGCUCGGACGGCCGCGCUACAGCUCACGUGAUUUGACAUGCCCUGCGCGGCUGCGCCCGCCGCCCGCUGGUUUUGUCCUGCUUCGUUCCGCAGCAGGCUCGCCGCUCGACUUCCAGGGGGCGGUGUCCUGGCUCAUCGGCAUCCUCGAUGGCACGUCCUCCGCGGCGGCGGACGUGUACGGGGCGUGGGUGGCGGUGCGGGCCGGGCUGAUCGCGCCGGUGCUGCAGGUGGCGGUGUGGGCGUGCAUGGUGAUGUCGGUGAUGCUGGUGGUGGAGGCCGUGUACAACAGCGUCGUCAGCCUCGGCGUCAAGGCCAUUGGGUGGCGGCCUGAGUGGAGGUUCAAGUGGAAGCCCCUCGACGGCGCCGACGAGGAGAAGGGGAGCGCCCACUUCCCUAUGGUCCUAGUCCAGAUACCCAUGUACAAUGAGCUGGAGGUGAGAACAGACCACCACCACAAAAAAAGUCCCUAAAAUCGUAUUUCGUAUCGGAGAAUUUUAACUGUUCAUCCACUGACUAUUUGAUGAUUUGUUCUUCCUCUUGUUGCUUUGUGAGAUUAAAUAUUAUUUUGAUGUGGUUUGUUAUUCGGUGUGUGGUAUGGGCUCUUAGGUGUACAAGCUGUCAAUAGCGGCAGCAUGUGGGCUGCAGUGGCCAAAGGACAGGAUAAUGGUUCAAGUGCUGGACGAUUCCACUGACCCCUUUAUCAAGGUAACCUGCAGAGCUCCUUGUUUUAUGGCUGGGGAUUAUUCCUACAGAGCCCUUCGUUUGGUGGAGAAACUAUUAAUUUUGGUGCUGUUAGAUCCUAUCAGAACAAGUGAAACAUCAAACUGGUUUGUUAUAGCAGAUGAAUGCUCAAACUCGACCUGUUGUGGAAUCAAUACCAGGAGGAUGAUGUAGUUUUGACACGAGACUAGUAGUUUUGACACGAGACUAACUGCAAUAGCCUCAUAGGGGCAUGCUAGUCACUCAUUUGGGCCGGUUGAGUGGGUGCAGAGAGAAUGUUUACAUGUGAAGUGAGUACCUAGCAUAAAAGAUGCUCCUGCUUUUAUGAGAUUAGUUACAUGAAAGCUACUUCAGCAUUUGGCAUAAAGGGAACCUGAAAUGGUUGCCUCACCUGAUAAAAUAUUUCGCAAUCACAAGUCAUCAUCAAAGUAGGGAUAAAUGAUCAGAUAUUUUGAUGAGGUAAAUGCAGAACUUGUAGAAGAAAACAACUCGAAGGAAGAGACGAGGCUGAGAAUGAGAACAAAGGUGAAUAGUCAUCUGUACCAUACACUCACAUGGCCAACUGCAGGUCGGGCCCAGCUGUCUGGGUUUUCCUGCCGUUGUCUAUUAGGUUCUAGCAGCCUUGUUUAUGUAAAAAUAAUAUUCCAGCGAAAAUAGGGUUACUAGAACUGAGUAACCAUACCAAAACUAACAAUAUCAAACACUGUGGGGUAUUGGACUAACAGUAUCAUUAAAGUCUGUCAGCAGGACCAUGGGGAGUUUGGCCCUUGAUCCUUCAGGUACUGAGAUCUGCACACGCAGUAUGGUACAGCCACAUGAGAGUAAUUACUGUCUCCUGAGAUUUCACGGCAUCAUGAGCCCCCUCUCUGGCUUUCUGUUCACUUGUCUUUGUUUAUUCAGAACCAUAGAUCUGAGGGAACGGUUCAAUGAUUGGUGGGGAUAUUUUUCUUUGGAAUGGAUCUUCCUCACCUCUCAAAAAGUUUCACUUCAUAAUUUGGAGUACCUGUUAGAUUCAUGCAAAUCAAGCACUGCUCCUAUAAAAUCCAAUCUGUUUACACAACAAGAAAUCAAAAUUUAUGAUCUGUAUUCAACCAAAAAUCUUGCAAUUUUUCAUGAAGCACCAUUUUCAGAACAUGAAAUUUCAAACAAGAAUGUGAGCAAGUAAAUUAUAUAUUGAAAAAGGAAAAACGAUGUCCAUGCCAUUCCUCUCUGGGUGGCAGUAGUAAUACAAAUAUUGAUUGAUCUAUAGUAAUACAAAUAUUGAUUGAUCUAUCUAGUUUGAUUGAAUUGUGUCAGCGAAUGGGUUGGUUUAGGAGUACUCUUGGUUUAGUGUGAUGGGGGCAGUAGUAGUUUGCAAGCACAGCUGCACAAGGAACCUUUGAUGAAGUACCAAUGGCCUCCCAAGCAAAUAGAAGACAAUCCUCUUGCCAUCAGAUUUAUCCAUUUGUGUUGACAUAGCAGCUACUUGCCAACCUAUCUUCAGAUAGCGUACAACUAGCAUUUCAUUAUCUGAACUGCUAUCACAAGAGUUCCACCAUCUUAUUAUCAUUGUGAGUUAGAUAAUCGAAAAUAUUUUUGGGUCCAACAAAAAAAGAAUAUCUGAUGACUGGGAUUACUUGUUGCUGCAGAAUUUGGUGGAGCUUGAAUGUGAGCACUGGGCGAACAAAGGCGUCAAUAUUAAGUAUGCCACAAGAACCAGCCGCAAGGGGUUCAAGGCAGGGGCUCUGAAGAAAGGAAUGGAAUGUGACUAUGCAAGGCAAAGCGAAUACAUUGCCAUAUUUGAUGCUGAUUUCCAGCCUGAACCAGAUUUUCUGCUCCGAACUGUCCCAUUCCUUCUGCACAAUCCCGAAGUUGCACUUGUUCAAGCUCGGUGGUCCUUUGGUAAGUACUGCAUUUCCUGUUAGUCUUGAGCACACUUUUCCAGCUACCCGUCUAUCACUAGUGCACGGGAUUUAGUUAUGGAAUAGAAAAAUACUAUGGGAAAUAUUUCUUAAACCUCAUGCCAAACUUGUCAGAUAUGCUCCCACAUUUCAGUAUAUCACCACAAUGGAAUACUUAACCAUUUUCAGAUUUUUUUUCUUGUGACAAAUGCACAAAUAGUUCUUGCAACUAGCACAAGGAACUUGGAACAGACAAUCUCACUGUUUUGGCCUCCGGAUAUAGACAUCACCUUUCAUAAUGAUGACAUUAAAAUAUAUUUCCAUAUUCUCCAAUGGUUCAUGAUGAUGCCAGAAAGGUGGUAUAGAACUGUUCAAAGAUAAUAUAACAUGAAAAAGAAAAUGCUAGUGCAUAAGCUUCUCAAGCAAUAUAAUAUUUUAUUCACUCUGAUCGGUCCAAUUCUUAAUUGACAGAAUUUUGCAGUGAAUGGCACCACAAGCCUGCUGACAAGGGUACAGAAGAUGUUUUACGACUACCACUUCAAAGUUGAACAAGAAGCGGGAUCAGCAACCUUUGCCUUCUUCAGUUUCAAUGGUACGCAUCUUUUGAAAACCUCUAAAGAGUACAAUUUCCCAAAAAGAGGGACAACCCCAGAAUGUCGAUUUCAAAACAAUACAAUCUUCCUAAUGGCAUGUCUAUUCUAGGAACUGCUGGAGUGUGGCGUACCAUAGCCAUAAGAGAUGCAGGAGGUUGGAAGGACCGAACUACAGUUGAAGACAUGGACUUGGCAGUUCGAGCAACCCUAAAGGGCUGGAAAUUUGUAUAUGUUGGGGACAUUAGGGUGAGUAUAUUUUAACAUAUAACAGUGUUGGGGAAAUUUGUAUAUUUGAUUUGAUGUGAUCAUUUGACUAUGCAGACAUGCUAUAUUUACAGGUCAAGAGUGAACUGCCGUCCACUUACAAGGCCUACUGUCGGCAGCAAUUCCGGUGGUCUAGUGGUGGUGCAAACUUAUUCCGUAAGAUGGCAAAGGAUGUUUUGUUUGCCAAGGUGAGCAUAUCUCCGCCCAGGUUCCCAUUCUGGCAAAUCAUGUCUUUGGGGAAAAAUCUAAAAAUUAGCCCCACUUGUUCCAAUAGGACAUAUCACUCGUCAAGAAAAUCCAUAUGCUCUAUAGCUUCUUCUUUGUGAGGAGAGUUGUAGCGCCAACGGCUGCCUGUAUUCUCUUCAAUGUCAUAAUCCCCAUCUCAGUCACAGUCCCGGAGCUCUACUUACCAGUGUGGGGUGUUGCCUAUAUUCCCAUGGUGCUUACCAUAGUCACAGUUAUAAGACAUCCAAAGUAAGUUUCUUCGUAAUUGUGAGUUCUAGAACAACAUUGCUCAUCUGUCCUUUCACCAGAACACAGCUAAUGAACUUCAACUUGUCUUUGCAGAAAUCUACACAUAAUGCCUUUUUGGAUUUUGUUUGAGAGUGUGAUGACAUUGCAUCGCAUGAGAGCUGCAGUGACUGGACUGCUGGAAUUAGAAGGGUUCAACCAGUGGACUGUGACCAAGAAGGUGGGGAAUGAUCUCGAGGACACUGAAGUUCCUUUGCUUCAGAAAACCCGGAAAAGGCUAAGGGACAGGUGAAAACUCGCAACUAAGGUUUUCUGGAUUAGUACAAAUUAUGAAAGGUAGCAGACUGGGUUACAUUACUGAUACUGUUCUUUCUUGCAGAGUCAAUUUCCUUGAGAUUGGAUUUUCGGUGUUUCUCUUCCUCUGUGCGUCAUACAACCUGGUGUUCCAUGGGACAAGAAGCUACUACUUGUAUAUGUACCUUCAGGGAUUAGCAUUUCUGUUACUAGGGCUUAACUUCACUGGCACUUGUUCUUGUUGCCAAUGACAGCAUGUCAAAGCUGUAUGAAUUGCUGAUUUAUAAUCAUUUUCUGGCAUCCGUUUGUAAACGUUUCAAAUGGUUUUGAUCUUAGAUGCAUAGAAAGAUGGCAUUAUUCUGCAUGCUCUCAGUGAUUUAGAUCUUGUAAUACAAUACUGUCAUCACAAAGUUACAAGGAUGUGAACGUGGUGGCUGCAAUUAUCAGAAAGUGCUUUUAUCGUGUAUUGAAUCGGAGGGGUAUGCUGUCAAGCAAACACAAGUCCGAUGCCUCGAAAAACAGGUCUGAUGCUAAUACAGUAACAUCCGACAUUUAAAAACAUUUUUUAAAAAAUACAUUCAAUGGCAAUGGACGUGAAUUGCAUAUACUCCGUUGCGGGUUACAGAUCAUCAUCAUUCAGGCACAAUCGGAUAUAUGACCUCUCAAGAAAAAAGGACUAAAUACACAAGAUGAUUUUGGAGCUAGUGGGAAUGUUUUCUGGGCUGCCACAAGAAUGACUAACCUAUUCAUUCCUGGUUACAUCAAAAAGGGCAUUUCAUCGAAAUACAACCCUCAAACCCUUUCGACAGGGCAUCCUCAACAUUACAAGGGGAGUUCUGAAGACAACCUCUUGAGUUGUGUAAAUGCGUCUCCUCGUGGUAAUCUGAGGAGCUACUAGAAAAAUGGAUAACUUUGUGGGAUUCCCCCACUCCAUAUCUAGCGUCGUGACUUUCCUUGAGUCGCUUUAUUGGUGUAAGAUGGACGGAGCGUGUAAAACUAUCCGAGAGUUCUACAUCCUCUUCAUUGGACUUGAAGUGAGGACAUUUCCUCUUUGAUCCAGGUAGAGGAUCCAGUCCUGUAACAGCAGAUUCAGAAUGGUGUGUAAUGUCAAGUUGGCUAAAAGAAGAAAUAAAAAUAACAAUGCUCCAAAUAAUACCUUUAAAUGUACUUGAAAUGCUACACUGUGCUUCCAUCGCACUGCUGCAGUCAGUAGAGUGAUAAAUUCUACAUUUUACAAGUGGAGACACAUAAGUCAGCAUACAACUAGGAAGAAACAUUACUCUCCGAGACAACAAGAAGACUAAAUUAGCUUAUUAUGAAGAACAAAUUCACUAAAACUAUGUAGCUAAUUAGCUAUUGCAUAAAACAAACGUCCCAAUCAUUCUUUCUCUGCGGAAGCCAGGGUUUCCCCCGUGGGAAGCUUCCCAUUACACGUUUAAAAGAAGAACUGACAUGCAACAGUUAUGGAUGAAUCAGCGCUCAUCAGCAACUUCUGUGAGCGAGCCCCAUCCUAUUGUAAUUUCUACAAAGCCAAUCUGGUUUCUGCAGUGUUUUUUUAACUUGCUACCCCGUAUAGAUUGUCAUUAUGAUUUUGAAUAGACAGUAGUAUGCACCAAUCACACAGAGCUUUGCAAAAUAAACAAUUCUACAAAAAGCUAGUAAGCAAGCCACGUGUAGGCCUAUAUUCCUAUAGAAUGUUACAUGAGUAAAAUAGGUCUUGAGAUUUUCCCAAAAUCUUCCCUUGCAUUAUCCAUUUAAUGGUUAUGCUUUAUGUUUGACAACAGGAAGAAAAUAUAUAAACUGAACUGCAAGAGAAUAUAAUCAUGUUGUGGCAGCAAACCUGUGCAUUUGCUCCACAAAAUCAUCAAUCAGAACAGGCCAAGCACCUGAAAGAAGACACAGGGAACAGGAACUAAGAAAAUUUCUUAAUUAUCAUAGAGCUACGCUAUAAAGACAGCUGCAGCCUGCACAUAUAGAAUUGAAAAUCGAUAUAGUCAUGUAGAAAGAAUUUGUACCUCGUGGGUCAUAACCUUCCAGAUCUUCAUUUACACAUCUGCUGAAAGCUAGCAGCUGCUGCCAAGUAUCCUCGGAUAUGUUGUGGCGUUGGUACUUCUGAGAAAGAGUAUUAUAGUUUUAGGCUUUUAGCUAAGAAAAAAACAGUGAAGUCUAUUUAUGACUGUUCAUCAUAGGAAAAGGGGGUGUAAGUCAUGAAAUAAUCAAGAAAAAGAAUAUUAAUGGUUUAUUGAGGACUAAAGAUUUGAACUGUUGCAAAGCAGUAUUAUAGUAUUUCAACUCUUAGGUUUUCAGCAUUUCUUCCAAACAAAAGAUGCCAAAUGAUAACUAAAGCAACUAUGCAUUCUGCAAUAUGCUAAUUAAACUAUGCAUCUUGCAACACAAAUUUAGGUUUGACAAGAACAUAAGUAUUAGCCAGAAUAGCACAACUGGAAACCAAGCAUCUGAUAAUUACCACGUGCAUCAAUAUUCAACAUUUCUAUUUAGUCAAUAGUCAUCGUGUAUCAAACCAUAUAAUUUACAGCAUAAGCCAGCCUUUCAACUAGAGUGAAGUACUUAUCUUCAUACAUAUAUGAUAUGUCUUAGUAAAUGUCGGUAGAAUGACAACUAUAGAAUAUCCAUGUCAAUAUUGCUUUUAUUAUUCUCUAGGGUUACUGGAUAAGAAUGGAGCACUAAUAAUAAUAAUUUAAUAAACUAUCACAAAAAACAAAUAUCAGAACAACACACAUUUGAGUUGAAUCAUGGAGAUGUCAUAUCAUGGCCAAGCAGAGCGAUUUCUAUACCUCAACGAAGUUACACCAUCGAUCAAGCAAACGGAACCUUCCGUUCAGAACAAUCUUCCAUGCUGCCACAGCUCUCUGAAUAGCUAUGCAAAUGAAAUAGGAAACUCCUAGUUAGUGUUCUAUCGGUAUAAGAAGUAUAUACUAGGAUACCAGUAGACAUUGAGAAUAGAGGAUCUUACUGAUACUCUUUUGCCCCUUUUCACGACAGAUGAAGAAGACAAAAUCGUAGAAGCAACUGAAUAGGGUCAUAUCCUCCUAAAACAGAAGGCACUCAAUUAACAUAAGGUAGUGAAGAAGGCUCUCAAUUAACAUAAGGUAGUAAAGAUCGACAAAAAAAAUCUCAAUCAGCUUGGAAAGCGUCACUCACCAAAUCAAUAAAUGGAAUGAGCUUUGGGAUAUCAGCAAAAAUCACAUCCCUGCAUCAACAUUAGGAUGCUUAAUCAUGUGAAAGGCUACAUAGGAUGAGAAAAUAAAACAGAACCAAACAUGAUACAAAAAAAGAAUCAUACAUUCACAUGAUAUGGAGGUUAUGAAAGUUUAUGUGAUCAGGGCUGAUUAAGGAUGUGCGCUUGUGUGUUGUGUCUUGGCCAGGAUAUACGAGCGACAAGCAAAUUUAAAAUGCCAUGAUGUUUGCAACAUUGAAUAGCCACCAUGAUAUUUUUUACUUCCAAGUAAAAACAGUUAAAUGUCAAUGUGCUGGUAACAUUAACACAGGAAAAUCAACUCCAAAAGAUUUAUAUAUUUACAGCAACAGAGAAAAAAGUACAACGACUAUUAAUAUUCACAUAUUGUUCAAUUCGCGUUUAAAUCUUCGUCAAAUUACACCUCAGCCAAAUUCUAAACAGAGAGUAAACAAGGGUCAAUAGAUUUCUCUAAUUCUCAGACAAGGUUUCAUAUUUCAACUCUACAUAUGCAAGCAAGAAGUAGAAAAGCAUGCAUCCUGUCAUAAAGUUUCACCAUGGUGCAGGAUAUAUCAUAAUGAAAAGAACUCUCAAAGAUGCAAACCUCAUUCCUUCAAUUCCAUCUAUAGCUAGUGAAAGCUCAACCAAUCCCUGUCUUGUCUCCACACUUGUACCUCCUGAUACGAUACCUAGCAAAACAAAGGCCAAAAGAACCAAUAGGUCGAUAUAGUGCCCCAAUAAACACAAUCUGAACUAACAAUGUGAACACGAGAACCGUUUACUGCACAUUUAACUUUUGUACUAUGCACGAGGCUUGGUUCCAGUUCCUGAGAAUUUUGUCUACUCUAGGUGCCAAAGAAGGAUGAUAUGAUCGAAUUGCAGAAACUAUCAAACGUACAGCCUCGAAGUAUGAACUUUUGUGAAGGACAACAUAUCAGUUUGCACGAGUCGUUUCGCUAGCAUCUGCCUAGCUAUAACUAACACUUCUUUGAAUUUUUCGUCACCCAAGAAAGCAAGAACCGAUAAGAGAAGGACCCAUUUUUCGUCAAGAAGUCAGACAAUUGACCACCGAUUAACGUUCAAGAUCACUUCUUCAGUACUCGAACCC
This 89476-nucleotide long non-coding RNA is filed under the name Sorghum bicolor (sorghum). Its description in RNAcentral is "long non-coding RNA (SBIC_LNC003901)". Lineage: Eukaryota; Viridiplantae; Streptophyta; Magnoliopsida; Poales; Poaceae. The record is from RNAcentral.